GGAAGAAACGGUGCUAAGCGCGUGUACCUAGGUGAAAAGACAAUUUUGAGUCUAUAGCUAAUUAAAUGAAGCAAACUUAGCAACACCAUUUCAUUGGAAGAGGUCACUCCUUGGCAAAUGCAAUCUAUCUAUCUAUACCUAUACUAAUUACAGACUCCCAAAAAAUUACCACGUUAAUUAGAUUUUACGAGUCGUUCAUCUGGUGGGACCGAAUUAUUACGGUGUAGAUUUAAUCAUAGAGUCCUCAUCUAGAAAAAGACACUUUUCACACAAAGGAAAAAAAACAGAUACCAUGAGAUCUUAAAUCUGUUACGAUCUAAUACAAUAGCUAACCAUCUCUCACACGAUUUGAUUGUGUAAAAAAAACCAUCACAGCCCGCACAUGUACGUGACCCAACCUACACAUAAUUACUGCAUGCGUUCUAUUUCUCCAUGGACAUAACCCCCAUACAGUCUCCUCCCCGUAGGCAUCUCCCCCCUUGCUCACACAAUUGUCUUUCUCCUGUCCUUCUGAUCAUCAAGAUUGUGUUAGAUCUACAGCAAAUCCAAUUCCACCAGGUCAUGCGCUCAUUGCGAUCGGCCUUGCUUCUUCCCGCCGGUGCCAUCAGCCCGUCUCUCUCUCUCUCUCUCUCUCUCUCUCUCUCUCUCUAUAUAUAUAUAUAUAUAUAUAUAUAUAUAUAUAUAUAUAUAUAUAUAUAUAUAUAUAUAUAUAUAUAUAUAUAUAUAUAUAUAUAUAUAUAUCAUCCUCGAGGACGCUGCCAGCUGCUGUCACUUUCAUCAGACAAUCUUCAGCAACCACUACAUAUCCUUGCCUCCCAGGUACACAAUUAGUGUUUUUGGUUCUUAUGAUUUCAAGUAGAACUGAUCCCAUCCAUUAUUCAGAUUUUGACAUUGUCAUACUGAGUUGUGUGUACCAGAAUUACGAGCAAUUUAUUCUCAUUAGAUGCAAACUUGAGAGAUUUAGUCAUAAAGUCAGGACAGUCAUAUGGGAUCAUCUUAAUUGAAAGAAGAGUAAUGUAACACUCUUUACCAAUGACUGAUGUGCUAACAAUAGAUGGUUCUAUCAAUUUUCUGUGCAUCUAUCACGCAACAGAAUCAGUUAACUAUAUAGGCAGGAACAAAGAAGGUGUAUCAGAUCUGCUCUUAUGAUGGAAUCAAGGGAAAUAACUUCCUGGAGUCACCUACGAGGUAAGCAGACCAUAUAGUUUAUUUUUUAGAUGGGGUUCGGUUGAUUUAUUAAUUUUCAUGAUGAAGCUCUGUCGCUUUACCUUUUUGAUUGCUAUUUUGGCUGACAGACCAGAACUAAUCUGUUUACUGAUAAGAGUUUGGGGCUAUUCAUAUAGUUUCUAUUAGUGUCGCAAGUUGGAUCUAAAUUCUCUUUUAUCUAUGUAAGGAGUGCGUUUUUAUUUCUGUACAAACCUGAUAUUCAUAUGGUUUUACCAUAGCUGUGUAGAAUGCGAGCAAGCAAAGUUGAUUAGUAACACACCUAGAAACAAAUGGAUUGAGGCCAUGGAUAAAUCUGUAAAUCUGGUAAGUGAAUACUCAGUUGUUAGUAAUUUUGAGCGCUGAGAUUUAAAUACCAAUGGGCACUACUUAUGAUCUCACCAAAAAAGGAAUUUCUAAUAUUCAGAUUUCUUAUGGAUGGCAAAUAAAAAAAUCCAGUUUAUGGAUGUGAAAAAUUGCAAUCAAGAAACAAUAUACUGUAGCCUGCAUAGAUUCCCAGAUAUAAUCAAGUCUUAGUACAUGAGGUAUGGGUACGACAUGUCAAAAAACAUGUGCAUGCAUACUCACCUUUCUUUUCUAUCCAGUCAUACAUGUGUGAAUCUUAGAACGUACAAGUAGUCAACUGAACAUAUUUAUAUCUAUUUUCAUGCACAUACUCAUCAUCAUACAUGUACUUUCUUAUGAUUAUUGUUCUCUUCCACACAUUUCUGAUGAAGAGACUGUAUCGAGUUAGAUCCGGCGGCACAGAGAAAAAUGAGGUUUGCAUGCUGGUGAUGAACAUCAUGGACUGAUUAUGUAAUUGGUUGCCUGUACAAGUUAUACAAAAUUGGGCGACGAAGUGCAAUGCAGGACCAUCCACUAUGCAGUGAAUAAUCUUUUAAGCAUCACCCUGCCCAGCCAUUUGAUCAGGUAAAUACUAUGUGUUGUCUCUCCGUGCGGUUUGUCAAUGAAAGCAUUGUUUAGCCAAUCCAGCCAGGGUGCAUACGGGAAUCUCUUCUUGGCUGCGGCACCAUCACGGCCGAGGAUGAGGUGAUAAGCUCGCCAUUAAGCAACUGGUCUAGUGAUGAAUUAAGCGUGUGAAGAAUCUUUUGAUCUGAGGUAGUAUAAUAUUGUUCUUGUUUAAUAACAAUGCAUUUUUAGCAUGCACCUCUUUAUGCUAUUUGUCUGCAAGUAGCGUUCAUGAACGGAAGACGGCGGUGAAGUAGCUAAUUGACUACGCAAGACAAAGAACUCACAUGUGUUAGUCCGUGGUGGCCAAAAAAGCGCACAUAUAUUAUACCCUCUGAAAUCACUCAAGCUAUGUGAUUUGUUUGGAGCAUGGAGAUUCGCUUAAUGAAAACAGUUUCAUGUUUUUAUCACAGAUUUCAGCUUUGCAGAUUUUCAUAUUUUAUACCGUAUCAUGACACUUUGUCUUCCACCACCAAUCUCCAUUGAUUCUCUCCCAUAUCCCUCAACUCUAACACUUAGCUUAAAACAUCCAAUUCUAUCGAUAAGAUCCGUGUCUCCCUUGAUCGCUAAUCAAGUUUCCAUCCGAUAGAUCUGAAUAUCUGAUAGAUAGAUGGAAACAUAAGUUUUCAUUCAUAAAUAGUAAGGAUUUAGAUUAAUAGUGAACAUCAUAUCUGUGUUAGUGAGAUUUUGUACUCAUAUAGAUUCGGUACAGACCCAAGGCUCUUGAAAGCUUGCGCAUAAGGGAUACACUCUAGUAUUUACAGAAUCUUCCGUAUGGGUCAAUAUUAAGAUCUGAAGACCUAUUAGCCCUGUGAACCAAGCCCUAAUCUGUAUCAUAAAAUGUACACUUGAGGGUGCCAAAUUGAAAAUUACACAAUGGACAUUCCUUGAUCCACAAAUAUUCUAGCUUCUUCAUCAGGUUCAUGGUAUGCAGCUUCUCCAUUAUGCAAUGGCUCCAAGCAGUCAAGUAGGCAAUAUAUUACCAAUCAUAAAUGCAGGAAAUUUAUAGAUGAAGACCUUGAUAUGUUAAGAAUAAUUUUAUAUAAUGUACCUUCUAAAUUGGUUUGCUCAACAAUGGGCUCAAACACUGCAUAUGGAUCAUUUGUGUGGUCAUUCCCACUGGAAAAUCAUAAAAGCAGUAGAGCACAACAAUGUAAGUAUUAUAGUAGACGUAGGAUCGGCAUAAGUAAUUAGCAGAUUUGUAGUGUUUUGAGUACCAUGCGGAGACGGUUCGACAAGGACUCUUGUAUCAUUAUACGGCAUAUUUUCAAGUGGAUUGGAGCCGGUAAAAGGCUCUAUACCUGAACAAAGGAAAGAGAACCCAGAUUUAUGGUCAAAUAAACAUUGUCGACACAUUUGCAUCAUAAUUAAAUCAACGAACUAACAUGCAUCUUCAAUGGUGCAAUCUGGGUCACGUAUUCUGCAGAGUUGGGGUAACUUAACCCCUGAAAUUUGGAUGUGAGUGUCUGCAUUCAAAUUAUAUUUUAUCCACAAGUUAGCACACGAGCAACAACAAAAACAGUAGCACAAAUUAGGAAUUGGUUGAUGAUACUCACACAAUGGUUGGUUGUUGCUUAAAUCCUGAAAUAGGGUACGCGCCCGUGCACGACUGGGAGAUGACAUACCGUGGUCUUCAUGUGAAUAUUCAUGUCAUUAAAUUGUUACAAGCAUGGAUAUUGUGCAAAGAAGUAUGAACAUCAACAUCACGUGCUGGUUUUAUAUUAGUGACAGGCAGAUAAGCAAUAUCUGUUUCAUCUUUGUAAACACACCACACUGUCCUUUUUGUUGAUAUUGUGUUUCAGUAGAGUUGUACAAUGUGCACAAGUCGCUAUUUUAAAUUCUGAAAGCCAACUUUUUUUCGACACCAGGAGCAGGAGAUAGGGUGCAUGCUUUAGUUAGAAAAACAGAUAAGGUGCAAUGGCUAAUUAUUUAGAACUCUAUUCUCAAACAUCUAAUAAUCAUGAGUAAUGUUGCAACAGGUAGGAAGAAGUCGAACCUGAAGAAGUACAUGGUGGAAUCACAGCUGCGUGUGGCCGGCUGGUUCAGGGGACGCAGCGGGCGUGGGUGCAGGGCGGCCGCUGACGCGGCAGCAGGGCCAGUGCCGGGGCAGGCUCUAUCUCUCCUGGGCGCUGGCGAUCUCACGGGAUGGAUGCCACGCUGUGAGCGGCAACAAUCGGCGAUGGCGAUCAUGCAGGGAGGCGACGGAGCGGUGUAGUGCAGUGCGGCGAGGUGGCCGUGCAGGCAGGAGACGCUGUUGGUGGGUGGCGUCUGGCACCAAGUCGUCGUCGUGCCAGACGAUGAGGUCGACAUGAGUGACAACAAUCGGUGAUGGCGAUCAGGGAGGUGACGGAGCGGUGCAGUCCGGUGAGGUCACCGUGCAGGCAGGAGACGUUGUUGGUGGGCGGCGUCUCGCACCAAGUCACCGUCGUGCCAGACGAUGAGGUCGAGAUCAAGGGCAUGGAGUUGCCUUAGUUUGCGAUCAAUUUUCGUGAUUGUAGGGACGCAGACUGGUAGUUCCAGUACAAGUACAAGGGCGUGGAGUUGCCUUAGUUUGCGAUCAGAUUUCCGUGAUUGUAGGGCCGUGGGAUUGGUAGUUCCAGUCUGCUCCUGGUGAAGCACGGUGAGUCAUUGGAAAUUGCUACAUGCACACCAUAGAGGUAUUAGAUCAAUGAUGGCUGUUAGAUUUAGAAUUGUGGGCCUAAUCGAGUGGUGCUGAUUGGUAUGUGCGGGUUUGUGGGACUAAUUGCUUGGUGCAUCUAAAAAAGUUCUUGCUUGAUUGUUUAAUAGUUGAUGAAUGAAUUAGACACACCUUUUAAAAUUAGGCUCACUCGCAGUCUCUCCACCGCCCCCGCGGGGUACGCCCAAAUCUCCACGCCAUUCCCCAUUCUCCUGGUCGCGCUCCCCCUUUAGGUAGCUCCUCCCCUUCGUCCCCACAGCCGACGCGAGGUCCGCACGCCCCUUCACAUUGAUCCGGUCCCCGAAGUCCCCGAGGAGGCACUCGAGCUCGGCAUGCUCGCGAGCGACCCAUUGCAAGGGGCCAUCUGAGGCGGAAGCGGUGGCCCGGGAUUCGUCUCAUCCGCAUCGGCGGCCGCGGCCAUCCAGUGCUGGCGUUGCCCGAGCACGGAGCAGGCCCCGACACCUCAACAGCUGGAGCAGUUCGGGUGCUUCGCUUUCACCGGCGAGCUGCCCCUGCCUGCCCCCAGAUGUGCGUCGGCCCGCGGAGGGGAGGGGUCGAAGAAGCAAAAGCGCUGGUAGGGGAGGAGACGGAGAGGAGGCGGAAUGAGGUUCUAGAUGGUUCUGGCGGUGCGAAUAACCCAGGCGUCGCGCCCAUCAUCGCCUUUGCCGGCUGCGAGAACUCCCGCUCCACGCGCCAAUGGCAGCUGGUAAGCCCACGCGUAACUACAAAAUUUCAGAAUUUGGUUCUACUAACUAUAAUAUUUUUUUCCUGUGAGUUAUAGUACGAGGUUGUACUAACUAAAUUUCUUACUAUGAGUUGUACUGACGUGCAGCCGGUAACUUAGUUGGUUACAGAGGGAGUAUCUUAACUCAACUGAUAGUGUACUAUUUCUUCCUAUCAGUAGCAGCAAUGAUAUCUUUUGUUAUGAAUAUAGACCAGAUUUAAGAUCUGAUGCCUACAUUACCAUUAAGCAUAUGUAGUGAACUCUUUUCUCCAUGUAGUUGGUACUGUAAGCUCUUUUCUCUAACUUGUUCCUAUUUUACCUUUUUCGUAGCGAGAUACAGUGGUACAUACAAAAGUCUGAACUGAAAUGGAUAGCUGUAGUUCUCAUUGCAGAGUGGUACUCCCUCUGUAAAGUGUUCUUGUAUUUCUUUGUGGGGGAAGUAUGUGUUUGCUUUACAUUGUCAAAAAAAGAACUGUUUGGUUUACAAGGUUUUAGGAUUCCUUUUAGGUGAUGUUGUCAAAAUCAUAGCUCCUGUAUUGAAGUAUGAUAUGGAUCUAUGAUAUUUCUCCUCUGCAGGGACCAAGGGAUAUGUGAAAUUGACAAGGAAAAGAAAACUUCAGAUGUGAACACCUCUGUUAAGUACUAUCUUUAUUUCAUUAUUACUAAUGUGUCCCCUGAUAGCUCGAUCUCUUCCAUACAUACAUAUAUGGUUAUUUCAGUCAUGUGCUAUAUUUGUCUCGUAAAGUCAGUGCCCGUCAAUACUUUCUUUCGCUAAUCAAGUUUCCAUCUGAUAGAUCUGAUAGAUAGAUGGAAACAUAAGUUUUCAUUCAUAAAUAGUAAGGAUUUAGAUUAAUAGUGAACAUCAUAUCUGUGUUAGUGAGAUUUUGUACUCAUAUAGAUUCGGUACAGACCCAAGGCUCUUGAAAGCUUGCGCAUAAGGGAUACACUCUGGUAUUUACAGAAUCUUCCGUAUGGGUCAAUAUUAAGAUCUGAAGACCUAUUAGUCCUGUGAACCAAGCCCUGAUCUGUAUCAUAAGAUGUACACUUGAGGGUGCCAAAUUGAAAAUUACACAAUGGACAUUCCUUGAUCCACAAAUAUUCUAGCUUCUUCAUCAGGUUCAUGGUAUGCAGCUUCUCCAUUAUGCAAUGGCUCCAAGCAGUCAAGUAGGCAAUAUAUUACCAAUCAUAAAUGCAGGAAAUUUAUAGAUGAAGACCUUGAUAUGUUAAGAAUAAUUUUAUAUAAUGUACCUUCUAAAUUUGUUUGCUCAACAAUGGGCUCAAACACUGCAUAUGGAUCAUUUGUCUGGUCAUUCCCACUGGAAAAUCAUAAAAGCAGUAGAGCACAACAAUGUAAGUAUUAUAGUAGACGUAGGAUCGACAUAAGUAAUUAGCAGAUUUGUAGUGUUUUGAGUACCAUGCGGAGACGGUUCGACAAUGACUCUUGUAUCAUUAUACGGCAUAUUUUCAAGUGGAUUGGAGCCGGUAAAAGGCUCUAUACCUGAACAAAGGAAAGAGAACCCAGAUUUAUGGUCAAAUAAGCAUUGUCGACACAUUUGCAUCAUAAUUAAAUCAACGAACUAACAUGCAUCUUCAAUGGUGCAAUCUGGGUCACGUAUUCUGCAGAGUUGGGGUACCUUAACCCCUGAAAUUUGGAUGUGAGUGCCUGCAUUCAAAGUAUAUUUUAUCCACAAGUUAGCACACGAGCAACAACAAAAACAGUAGCACAAAUUAGGAAUUGGUUGAUGAUACUCACCCAAUGGUUAGUUGUUGCUUAAAUCCUGAAAUAGGGUACGCGCCCGUGCACGACUGGGAGAUGACAUACCGUCGUCUUCAUGUGAAUAUUCAUGUCAUUAAAUUGUUACAAGCAUGGAUAUUGUCAUAUAAGUAUGAACAUCAACAUCAAGUGCUGGUUUUAUAUUAGUGACAGGCAGAUAAGCAAUAUCUGUUUCAUCUUUGUAAACAUACCACACUGUCCUUUUUGUUGAUAUUGUGUUUCAGUAGAGUUGUACAAUGUGCACAAGUCGCUAUUGUAAAUUCUGAAAGCCAACUUUUUUUCGACACCAGGAGCAGGAGAUAGGGUGCAUCGUUUAGUUAGAAAAACAGAUAAGGUGCAAUGGCUAAUUAUUUAGAACUCUAUUCUCAAACAUCUAAUAAUCAUGAGUAAUGUUGCAACAGGUAGGAAGAAGUCGAACCUGAAGAAGUACAUGGAGGAAUCACAGCUGCGUGUGGCCGGCUGGUUCAGUGGACGCGGCGGGCGCGGGUGCAGGGCGGCCCCUGACGCGGCAGCAGGGCCAGUGUUGGGGCAGGCUCUAUCUCUCCCGGGCGCUGGCGAUCUCGCAGGAUGGAUGCCACGCUGUGAGCGGCAACAAUCGGCGAUGGCGAUCAUGCAAGGAUGCGACGGAGCGGUGCAGUGCAGUGAGGCGAGGUGGCCGUGCAGGCAAGAGACGCUGUUGGUGGGUGGCGUCUGGCACCAAGUCGCCGUCGUGCCGGACAAUGAGGUCGACAUGAGUGGCAACAAUCGGCGAUGGCGAUCAGGGAGGUGACGGAGCGGUGCCGUGCGGCGAGGUCACCGUGCAGGCAGGAGACAUUGUUGGUGGGCGGCGUCUGGCACCAAGUCACCGUCGUGCCAGACGAUGAGGUCGAGAUCAAGGGCAUGGAGUUGCCUUAGUUUGCGAUCAGUUUCCGUGAUUGUAGGGAUGCGGACUGGUAGUUCCAGUACAAGUACAAGGGCGUGGAGUUGCCUUAGUUUGCGAUCAGAUUUUCGUGAUUGUAGGGGCCGCGGGAUUGGUAGUUCCAGUCCGCUCCUGGUGAAGUAUGGUCAGUCAUUGGAAAUUGCUACGUGCACACCAUAGAGGUAUUAGAUCAAUGAUGGCUGUUAGAUUUAGAAUUGUGGGCCUAAUCGAGUGGUGCUGAUUGGUUUGUGCGGGUUUGUGGGACUAAUUGCGGGGUGCACCUAAAAAAGUUCUUGUUUGAUUGUUUAAUAGUAUAAAUAAUAAAUAAAUAUAAAUAUUGAUUGUUUAAUAGUAUAAGUAUAGAUUUGUCAGCUACCUUAAGCUGCGCUACUGCAAGAAGAAUAUUGUGUUGCCUAAAAAGACAAGAAUAUUGCAUCAAUUUUUCAGUGUCGACAAAAGUACACCGCAGUCCAUCCGUAUUAGCGUGCUACAAUUUCACAGCAGAGCAUUGUAGGCAUCUUUUUGCCCAGAAAUUUAUCUGCUAAUCUGGGUUGAACACAUGACAUCUCUUUUUAUCCAAGAGUAUAUUUAGGGUCUACGCUUUCAUGUUGCUCCAUUCUUUUUCUGAAAGGAUUGCCCAAUGUUUGUCAGAGCUUCAUUAUGUAAGCUCGGUACAUUGCCCUGUCCGGGUCUUAUUGUGUACAUUCAUACAUUCAAAUUUGGUUGCGUCCUUCUAUUAAGUGCCACAGAUUACAGGGAGCCCCUAUUUCACGCGUAGGUCGGUGAAUAGCGACCAACCUGAAAUCCACCCCCCCACCCCCCGCGUUGCCGCCCCUCCGCGCAUUUUGGGCCGGCCCAAAUGGGGCUUAGCGCUCCUUUUUGUUGUUUUUUUCAUUUUUCUUCUGUCAUUUUAAUUUUUGUUUCUUCUUUUUUUGUUUUUAUUUUUUCUUAGAGAACUGUUCACGAAUCUCAAUUUCAAGAAAAUGUUUGAGAUUUAAAGAAAUUCUUAAUUUCAAAAACUUUACACUAAUUUUUUAGAAAAAACAUGAAUUAAAAAAUAUACAAAAAUUUGAAAAAUGUUUAAUGAAUUCAAGAAAUAUCAUGAGUUCAAAAAAUGUUCUUGAUCCUAAAAUAAAUGUUACUGAAUUUCAAAAAAGUUCAUUGAUUCAAAAAAUGUUGAUAAGUUUCAAAAAAGAUUUAUCAAUUUAAAAAUAUUCAUAAAUUUCCAGAAAUGAUCUAAGAUUUGAAAAUGGCUUGUGAGUUAAAAAAGUUUAUUUUAGGAGAACGCAGAAAUGAUCCAGAAAUGAUCCAGAAAUGUUGAUAAGUUCCAGAAAUGAUCACGACUUUGAAAAAAAGUUUGAGCACUUGCAAAAUAAAAAAGAAUUAAAGGAAAUAAAAAUGGAAAAUAAAACAAAACAACGGAGAAAAAACCGGUAGAAAGAAGCAAGAAAAAAAGGGAGGCUGCCACCAAUGGCGAGGAAGAGUAAAACACGGGAGGCUGCAACCGAUAACGAGGAAGAGUAAAACAUAGGAGAACGCAACCGAUAGCGAGGAAGAGUAGAACGUGGGAGGCUGUCACUGCUUGGGUCUCAAGAAAGCCACCGCCAAAGUCUUGUUGGGCCUCACAGCCGGUGAGCUUGCCCGCUUCACAGAGGUGGAGGCCACUAUUUCAUCCCCUCAUGCUGAAGCUAAACUUGGUGGGCGCAUCGCCCAUCAGUGAGCUUGCCCGAUUCGUGGAGGCGAAGACUACUCUUCCCUUUAUGUUGAAGCUUCAUUUUCUGGGGUUCAGGGCCAUUCGGUGUGCUUGUUGUUGGACAUGGGAAAAACAUGUAGUGCAAAACGUGUGUCGCCACUGCCGGCGAUCUUUUAGACUAGAUUAGAAUAGCCUAGUCGGCUAUAGUUUAGUUGAAAUAUGUCGAGAAUGUAAUGUGCCUGCUCCAGUUUAGAUGAAAAUGAUCCGGUUUUAUGUACGAAUUCUCUAAGUUCGUAUGAAAAUUGUCCAGUUUGUUUAAGUUUACAUCAAAUGUGACUGGGCGUUUGCAACUACCUUUGGAUGAUCGGUUCCCAUAUUAGUGUCCGGACCGGUCCGUAGACAUAUCCAGUGUCCGUCUUAGGGAUCCGUGUUAGAGAUACCCUAACAUAUAUAUGCAUGUUACUAGACUAAACUAUUAAUGCACACGUGCAACACACAUUAAUAUUUAGGCAAUAUAUUAAUUGCACGUGGAUAUUACGUACGAUAGUAUUUAUGUGUUAAUUCUGUGAUUAGUGUAAUAUUUGGUAUGAUAUUAAUUGCAUGUUAAACACGUUGAACGCUCGCUAUUGGAGCAGUCUAGGUCGUUGGAAUGACUUAAUUUGAUGGUCGAGAUCAAUUGGAUCUACCCCUUUGAGUCUUUUUAUAUUGAUAUAGAUAAAUUAUUUCCCACUACAACAUGUUUGGAUUAUCGUGUUGUUUUUGAAGACACCUAAAUAAUACACGUCUCAGCUCAUCGUUUUGUCUCCGACCGAAAAUUCCUAAGCAUCUAGUAAGAUUCUAGUGUAAAAUAAACACCUUCGUAUUAUUAAACUACAAUAAUUCCAAGCGCGGCCUAACUCGUAUCUACACGGAGAGUCGGCACCAUGGGACAUCGUCAUUGCGAUGUUAGCAUGUGGGCCAUGUAACACCCCCUGUAUGGGUUGUCACCUUGUGGUUUGUACCUGCGUGUGGGCUAUAAGAUGGCCCAAGGGGUAUCCUUGUGUGGGCCUGGUAGGAAGAGUAUAUGUAUCGCGUUUGUUACACCAUUCCCCUAAAAAAUCUAAGGAACUCAUUGUGCAGAAUGCAUCAAUGAUACUUUGCUGGUGGUAAUCCCCAUGGUAACAAACCCAAUGCUUAUUUCUCAGUUCAAGCUCAUAAGUUUGAGUAAUGUGCUCUACCAGAUAACAUCAAAGGUGAUAGCAAACAUGAUGAAAGUUAUCCCGCGCGACAUUAUCUCUAAGGAACAAUCAACAUUUGUGCCUGGAAGGCUCAUUACAGAAAACGUCAUUAGUUUUGAUGAAUGUAUUCACUUCAUGAAAAGAAGCAAAUCCGAGGACAACAGCUAUUGUGCUCUCAAGCUAGACAUGAUGAAAGCGUUGUUGGGGAAUGCAUCAAUUUCAAAAAAAAUCCUAGGAUCACGCAAGAUCUAUCUAUGUGAUGCAUAGCAAUGAGAGGGGAGAGUGUGUCCACGUACCCUCCUAGACCGAAAGCAGAAGCAUUUAAUUAACGCGGUUGAUGUAGUCGAACAUCUUUGCGAUCCAACCGAUCCAAGUACCGAACGUACGGCACCUCUGCGUUCAGCACAUGUUCAGCUCGAGGACGUCCCUCGUACUCUUGAUCCAGUUGAGGCCGAGGGAGAGUUUCAUCAGCACGAAGGCGUGGUGACGGUGAUGAUGAAGUUACCGGCGUAGGACUUUGCCUAAGCACUACGAUGAUAUGACCGAGGUGUGUAACCGUGGAGGGGGGCACCACACACGGCUAAACAAUGUCAACUUGUGUGUCUAUGGGGUGCCCCCCUCCCCCGUAUAUAAAUGAGUUGAGGAGGGGAAAGGGCCGGCCCUCUGUGGCGCGCCCUAGAGGAGUCCUACUCCCACUGGGAGUAGGAUUCCCCCCCCCCUUCCCUAGUUGGAGUAGGAGAGGAAGGAAGGGGCAGGAAGGAGGAAAGAAAGGGGGGUUGGCCCCCCACCCAAUUCGGAUUGGGCUUGGGCGGGCGCGCACCCUCCUAGGCUCCCUUCUCCUCUCUCCCACUAUGGCCCAAUAAGGCCCAUANNNNNNNNNNNNNNNNNNNNNNNNNNNNNNNNNNNNNNNNNNNNNNNNNNNNNNNNNNNNNNNNNNNNNNNNNNNNGGGGGUCCGUAACCUCCCAGUACUCCGGUAUAUGCCCGAACUCACCCGAAACCAUUCCGAUGUCCAAACAUAGGCUUCCAUUAUAUCGAUAUUUAUGUCUCUACCAUUUAGAGACUACUCGUCAUGUCCGUGAUCACAUCCGGGACUCCGAACUACCUUCGGAGCAUCAAAACACAUAAACUCAUAAUACCAAUCGUCAUUGAACGUUAAGCGCGCGGACCCUACAGGUUCGAGAACUAUGUAGACAUGACCUAGACACGUCUCCGGUCAAUAACCAAUAGCGGAACCUGGAUGCUCAUAUUGUUUCCUACAUAUUCUACGAAGAUCUUUAUCGGUCAAACCACAUACAACAUACAUUAUUCCCUUUGUCAUCGGUAUGUUACUUGCCCGAGAUUCGAUCGUCGGUAUCUCAAUACCUAGUUCAAUCUCGUUACCGGCAAGUCUCUUUACUCGUUCCGUAAUACUUCAUCCCGCAACUAACUCAUUUGUCACAAUUCUUGCAAGGCUUAUAGUGAUGAGUAUUACCGAGAGGGACCAGAGAUACCUCUCAAAACAUGGAGUGACAAAUCCUAAUCUCGAUAUAUGACAACCCAACAAACACCUUCGGGGACACCUGUAGAGCACCUUUAUAAUCACCCUUUUACGUUGUCACGUUUGGUAGCACACAAAUUGUUGCUCCGGUAUCCGGGAGUUGCAUAAUCUCAUAGUCUGAGGAACUUGUAUAAGUCAUGAAGAAAGCAGUAGCAAUGAAACUAACAUGAUCAUAAUGCUAAGCUAACGGAUGGGUCAUGUCCAUCACGUCAUUCUCCUAAUGAUGUGACCCCGUUCAUCAAAUGACAACACAUGCCUAUGGUUAGGAAACUUAACCAUCUUUGAUUAACAAGCUAGUCAAGUAGAGGCAUACUAGGGACUAUAUGUUUUGUCUAUGUAUUCACUCAUGUACUAAGUUUCCGGUUAAUACAAUUCUAGCAUGAAUAAUAAACAUUUAUCAUGAAUUAAGGAAAUAAAUAAUAACUUUAUUGUUGCCUCUAGAGCAUAUUUCCUUCAGUCUCCCACUUGCACUAGAGUCAAUAAUCUAGAUUACAUAGUAAUGAUUCUAACACCCAUGGAGCUUUGGUGUUGAUCAUGUUUUGCUCGUGGGAGAGGCUUAGUCAACUGGUCUGCAACAUUCAGAUCCGUGUGUAUCUUGCAAAUCUCCAUGUCCCGUUCCGACACUUGAUGACAGAUGGAAUUGAAGCGUCUCUUGAUGUGCUUGGUUCUAUUGUGAAAUCUGGAUUCCUUUGCCAAGGCAAUUGCACCAUUAUUGUCACAAAAGAUUUUUAUUGGACCCGAUGCACUAGGUAUGACACCUAGAUCGGAUAUGAACUCCUUCAUACAAACUCCUUCAUUCGCUGCUUCUGAAGUAGCAAUGUACUCCGCUUCACAUGUAGAUCCCGCCACGACGCUCUGCUUGGAACUGCACCAACUGACAACUCCUCCAUUCAGUAAAAAUAUGUAUCCGGUUUGUGAGUUAGAGUCAUCCGGAUCAGUAUCAAAGCUUGCGUUGAUGUAACCAUUUACGACGAGCUAUUUUUCACCUCCAUAAACAAGAAACAUAUCCUUAGUCCUUUUCAGGUAUUUCAUGAUGUUUUUGACCGAUGUCCAGCGCUCCACUCCGGCAUUACUUUGGUACCUCCCUGCUAUGCUUAUAACAAGACAUGCAUUAGGUCUGGUACACAGCAUUGCAAACAUGAUAGAACUUAUGGCUGAUGCAUACGGAAUGACUUCCAUUUUCUCUCUAUCUUCUGCGGCGGUCGGGCUUUGAGUUUGACUCAACUUCACACCUUGUAACACCUUGUAUCAAGGUCUGUGCUUUGUGAAAGUCCAAUUAAGCGUCUUGAUCUAUCUCUAUAGAUCUUGAUGCCCAAUAUGAAAGCAACUUCUCCAGAAAUUCUAUAUCAUUUCAAAUCAACAAUAUGUCAUCAACAUAUGAGAUCUGAAAUGCUACAGAGCUCCGACUCAGUUUCUUGUAAAUAUAGGCUUCUCCAAAAGUCUGUAUAAAACCAUAUGCUUUGAUCACACUAUCAAAGCAUUUAUGCCAACUCCGAGAGGCUUGCACCAGUCCAUAAAUGGAUCGCUGGAGCUUGCACACUUUGCUAGCACCCUUUGGAUCGACAAAACCUUCUGGUUGCAUCAUAUACAUCUCUUCUUCCAGAAAUCCAUUCAGGAAUGCAGUUUUUGACAUCCAUUCGCCAAAUUUCAUAUUCAUAAAAUGUAACAAUUGCUAACAUGAUUCGAACAGACUUAAUCAUCGCUACGGGCGAGAAAGUCUCAUCGUAGUCAACUCCUUCAACUUGUCGAAAACCUUUCGUAACUAGUCGAGCUUUGUAAACAGUAACAUUACCGUCUGCGUCCGUCUUCUUCUUAAAGAUCCAUUUUCUAUGGCUUGCCGAUCAUCGGGCAAGUCCACCAAAUUCCACACUCUGUUCUCAUACAUGGAUCCCAUCUCAGAUUUCAUGGCCUCAAGCCAUUUCGCGGAAUCUAGGCUCAUCAUCGCUUCCUCAUAGUUUGUAGGUUCAUCAUGGUCUAGUAACAUGACUUCCAAAACAGGGUUACCGUACCACUCUGGUGCAGAUCUUACUCUCAAAGACCUACGAGGUUCGGUAGUAACUUGAUCUGAAGCUUCAUGAUCAUCAUAAUUAGCUUCCUCACUAACUGGUGUAGGAAUCACAGGAACUAAUUUCUGCGAUGAACUACUUUCCAAUAAGGGAGCGGGUACAGUUACCUCAUCAAGUUCUACUUUUCUCCCACUCACUUCUUUCGAGAGAAACUCCUUCUCUAGAAAGGAUCCUUUCUUAGCAACAAAGAUUUUGCCUUUGGAUCUGUGAUAGAAGGUGUACCUAAAAGUUUCCUUUGGGUAUCCUAUGAAGACGCAUUUUCUCUGAUUAGGGUUCGAGCUUAUCAGGUUGAAGCUUUUUCACAUAAGCAUCGCAGCCCCAAACUUUAAGAAACGACAACUUUGGUUUCUUGCCAAACCACAAUUCAUAAGGCAUCGUCUCAAUGGAUUUUGAUGGUGCCCUAUUUAAAGUGAAUACAGCCGUCUCUAGAGCAUAACCCCAAAAUGAUAGCGGUAAAUCAGUAAGAGACAUCAUAGAUCGCACCAUAUCUAAUAAAGUACGGUUACGACGUCCGGACACACCAUUUCGAUGUGGUGUUCCAGGUGGCGUUAAAUGUGAAACUAUCCCAUGUUGUUUCAAAUGAAGAGCAAACUCGUAACUCAAAUAUUCUCCUCCAUGAUCAGAUCAUAGAAACUUUAUUUUCUUGUUACCAUGAUUUUCCACUUCACUCUAAAAUUCUAUGAACUUUUCAAAUGUUUCAGACUUAUGCUUCAUUAAGUAGAUAUAACCAUAUCUGCUCAAAUCAUCUGCGAAGGUAAGAAAAUAAUGAUACCUGCCACGAGCAUCAAUACUCAUUGGACCGCAUACAUCGGUAUGUAUUAUUUCCAACAAGUCAGUACCUCGUUCCAUUGUUCCGGAGAACGGAGUUUUAGUCAUCUUGCCCAUAAGGCACGGUUCGCAAGCACCAAGUGAUUCAUAAUCAAGUGAUUCCAAAAGUCCAUCCAUAUGGAGUUUCUUCAUGCGCUUUAUACCGAUAUGACCCAAACGGCAGUGCCACAAAUAAGUUGCACUAUCAUUAUUAAACAUUAAUAUUUUGGCUUCAACACUAUGAAUAUGUGUAUCACUACUAUUGAGAUUCAACAAAAAUAGACGACUCAGCAGGGGUGCAUGACCAUAAAAGAUAUUACUCAUAUAAAUAGAACAACCAUUAUUCUCUGACUUAAAUGAAUAACCGUCUCGCAUCAAACAAGAUCUAGAUAUAAUGUUCAUGCUCAACGCUGGCACCAAAUAACAAUUAUUCAUGUCUAAAAUUUUAAUCCCGAUGGUAGAUGUAGAGGUAGCGUGCCGACCGCGAUCACAUCGACUUUGGAACCAUUUCCACGCGCAUCGUUACCUCGUCCUUAGCCAAUCUUCGCUUAAUCCGCAGCCCCUGUUUUGAGUUGCAAAUAUGAGCAACAGAACCAGUAUCAAAUACCCAGGCGCUACUGUGAGCAUUAGUUAAGUACACAUCAAUAACAUGUAUAUAAAAUAUACCUUUCACUUUGCCAUCCUUCGUAUCCGCCAAAUACUUGGGGCAGUUCCACUUUUAGUGACCAGUCCCUUUGCAGUAAAAGCACUUAGUUUCAGGCUUAGCUCCAGACUUGGGUUUCUUCUCUUGAGCAGCAACCUUUUUGCCAUUCUUCUUGAAAUUCCCUUUCUUCCCUUUGCCCUUUUUCUUGAAACUGGUGGUCUUAUUGACCAUCAACACAUGAUGCUCCUUUUUGAUUUCUACCUCCGCGGCCUUUAGCAUCGCGAAGAGCUCGGUAAUAGUCUUGUUCAUCCCUUGCAUAUUAUAUUUCAUCACGAAGCUUUUGUAGCUUGGUGCUAGUGAUUGAAGAACUCUGUCAAUGACAUUAUCGUCAGCAAGAUUAACUCCCAGUUGAGUCAAGUGGUUGUGCUACCCAGACAUUCUGAGUAUUUGUUCACUGACAAAACUAUUCUCCUCCAUUUUACAGUUGUAGAACUUAUUGGAGACUUCAUAUCUCUCAAUCCGGGCAUUUGACUGAAAUAUUAACAUCAACUCCUGGAACAUCUCAUAUGCUCCAUGACGUUCAAAACGUCGUUGAAGUCCAGGUUCUAAGCCGUAAAGCAUGGCACACUAAACUAUCGAGUAGUCAUCAACACGCGUCUGCCAGGCAUUCACAAUGUCUGCAGUUGCGGGCGCGGGUGGUACACCUAACGGUGUUUCCAAGACGUAAUUCUUCUGUACAGCAAUGAGGAUAAGCCUCAAGUUAUGGACCCAAUCCGUGUAGUUGCUGCCAUCAUGUUUCAACUUAGCUUUCUCAAGGAACGCAUUAAAAUUCAAAGGAACGGUAGCACGGGCCAUUGAUCUACAACAACACAGACAUGCAAAAUACUAUCAGGUACUAAGUUCAUGAUAAAUUAAAGUUCAAUUAAUCAUAUUACUUAAGAACUCCCAGUUAGAUAGACAUCCCUCUAAUCAUCUAAGUUAUCACGUGAUCCAAAUCAACUAAACCAUGUCCGAUCAUCAUGUGAGAUGGAGUAGUUUUCAAUGGUGAACAUCACUAUGUUGAUCAUAUCUACUAUAUGAUUCAUGUUCGACCUUUCGGUGUCAGUGUUGCGAGGCCAUAUCUGCAUAUGUUAGGCUUGUCAAGUUUAAUCCGAGUAUUCUCCGUGUGCAACACUGGCUUGCACCUGUUAUUUGUGAAUGUAGAGCUUAUCACACCCGAUCAUCAUGUGGUGUCUCGGCACGACGAACUUUAGCAGCGGUGCAUACUCAGGGAGAACACUUGUACCUUGAAAUUUAGUAAGGGAUCAUCUUAUCAUGCUACCGACGUUCUAAGCAAAAUAUGAAACUGUGCAUCAUAUGAAGAUGUGCUAUGCAUGAAUGUUGAUCAGCAUGAUGUUAACUGGCUGGUAGUUCCCUUUUCGACAACGAAUAAAACUUCCAACAUGAUGUUAACCCUGUUUGAAAAGGCCGUGUUAAUAUAAAUGCUCUGCCUCUGAAAGUUACAGUUUCUUAUCUGAAACUGAACUUGCAGUUUCUUAUCUGAAACUGAAACUUGCAGUUUCUUCUCGUCUGCACUUUUAUACUCCUAUGAAACUACAUUUUUUAAGUGCUAAAAAUAGAUCUCUAGAAUUCAUAAAAUUCUUCAUAUGCUCAAUACUGCAAAUCUGAAAUUCAAAAGACAUUCAUAUCUGAAAGUACUCUCAAAAUACACAACACAAAACACAAUUCACAACCAGCAAAUACUGACAACCCUAAGCUCCUCUUGACAAUUCAAACCUGCCCGACUAUUGGGCAGGGGGGCAGUCCCCUCCUAUUCCUUGGUGGCAGACAGCCGCCCCGUGAGACGAUGUGAAUGGCGAGGGAGACGAUGGCAGGGAAGCGUCAUCGGGCCAACUGCUUUUCUCCUCUUAUAGUUGGGUUCGGUCGAUGAAGACUCCACCGGCUCGCUCUUGCAGGACACCCUCUCAAACGGCACACUCUAGAUGCUCGAUCCUUCAAUCUCUGGUGGAUGCUCCAUCUGGGAUCGAUACUCCCACCACCGCUCCCUCACAAUCGGAUUCGGUGAAUCUGUUUGCUCCAUGGUCCAGAGGAGCAGCUCUAUGUACUCCGGCGCGACUCCCUCCGGGAGUAUCGCCGCCUUUUCGCUCUGUUGCAGAUAUUUGACCAUGGAUGUCGCCGUCGCCGCUAGUUGGUCCCUGUUGUCAAACCAAGACUGUGUCUCCAACAUCCUAGCUAGCUUCACAGGGUCGCCGUCUGCGAUCCUCGCGUAUCGGUUGUACUCCUCCAUCGAUCUACUUCUGCACAGGACCUUCACUCACCGGCAGUGGUUUUUGAAUGGAAGAGGAGAGGAGCGGCACUGGUUUCAGAUUAGAACGGGAGAGGAGCGACGCUGGUUUUGGACUGCAACAGGAGAGGAGGGGCGGUGGUUUUGAAAUGGAAGAGGAUAGGAGCGGCACUGGUUUUAGAUUGGAACAGAAGAGGAGCGGCGGUGGUUUAAGAGGAGAAGAGCGGAAGAGCGGCGCUGAUCUAGGAAGUAUUUUUUUAUUGUUUUGCGUAUUUUGGGUCAAAGUUUGACCCCGUAUUGUAUGUGACAAGCAAAAUGUGAAUGCAUGUCACCAAAAAUUGUAUCGUUUGGUUUGUAUCUGAAUGUACUUUCAAAUUAUAUUAUUUUUGCAACGUAUAACAUAUAUUUUAUGUGCGAAAAUCAUGGUCAAUUAUGACCCAAAAUAAAAGGGAGACUAGUUAAUGUGGGGCCGCUUUCUCAAUUGAAGGGUAAAUUGAUUUUAAUUUUGAUCCAGUCACAGCGCGCCGGCCCUCUUGCCCAAUCCUAAAUUGCUGCCGCACGCUCCUCUCCCUCUUCUCCAUUGCAAAAUCACCUCCUCUCAUCUCCAUCAUCUCCAUUCCAAAACCACCGUCUCGCCUCUCCCUCUUCUGAUCUUCUCCAUUGCAAAACCACCUCCUCUCCUCUCCAUCAUCUCCAUUCCAAAACCACCUCCUACCCUCUCCAUCAUCUCCAUUCCAAAACCACUAUCUCGCCUCUCCCUCUUCUGAUCUUCUCUCCAUUGCAAACCCACCUCCUCUCCUCUCCAUCAUCUCCAUUCCAAAACCACCUCCUCUCCUCUCCCUCUUCUCUAUUGCAAGAGCAUCUUCUCUCCUCCCAUCUUCCAAAUCUAGCACCGGACCACUCAGAACGACAUCUAUGGAGAGGAUGCAGCAGCGAAUCAGGCACAUCGCCGGCGGCGACCAGGCAAAGUUAGCCAGGUUGAAGGAGAUCCUUAGUUGGUUUGACAAUGAGUGGGAGAUUUCGAGGACGGUGCGGGCCAUGUGUCAAUGUAUGCGAAAGAGCGAGACGGCGGCGAUGUACAUGUACUCCUCGGCGGCAGUCACGCCGCAGUCCUCCGAGUUCAUCGAGUAUCUCCUAUGGGCGAUGUAGUAGACAGAUUCGCCCGAGGCGACAGUCAGGCAGACGUGGUGGGCGUACAGGUCGAAGGUCGAGCACCCACAGGAUAACGAAUUGAUCGAGUAUGGUGUGUCGUUCGUGAGGGUGCAGAGCCAGCCGGAGCCAAAGGAGUAUUCGUUCUCCCACCACAAGAGGAGGCCGGAUGGCGCGACGUCGCUUCCCCGAUGUUCUCCACGGUUCCCUCGACGCUCGCCUUAUUUCAACGGCGACGGUAGGGUUUAAGGAAAGCUUCGCACUAACCUAAUCUUCCACCUGCUCAUGCUUACAAUCAGUGUGACAGCUAAUGAAAAUCACGCUUACAAUCAGUCUUCGCGUACUACGCCAAUCACCCUAAAAUAGCUCUGGACCAUUGGGUCAAAGUUGUGACACAGUGUACAAAUAAAGAAAAAUAGAUUGGUGCUUCUUUCAGAAAAGAGUAAUCCCUAGAAAACUGCCAAUAUAAGCUACUAGUAUUUGGUUAGAGGAUUUGCUGCCGAGAAAGAUCCGUCCACAGAGAGCGCCACACAUCCCACUGGUUGUGGUGGAUGCCAAUGCGUGCAUGCAGCAUGGUUGGUGUCGGUAAUUUUUACUUGGCACACCUCGCACUCUGCAUAUAUGUCGGUUCCAUACGUACAUUUAUGCAGUUCCACCAAAAUGCAGCUGAAUAACCCUGUUUGCACAUAUAAUAAAAAAGCAUGAUUACAUUAUAGUAGCACUAGUUUAUGAAACACACAAAAUAAAUAGAAGAAAAUAUUGUGAUAGUAUCAUAGUAUGCCAUGCUGCGAGGGCGAGAUGGGCCCUGCGACGCCUCAUACGGUACGCCUCAUACUGGACAUCGUCCCAAGUCUCCCAGAUACACCUUCUUCCAGUGAUGAACAUCAGUGUACAACAGUAGUACAAGGAGGCGCCUUGAGACAUUCAAAUCUCUAUUUUUGUACAUAUCAACUAAAAUUAAGCACCCCAGUUUGCAGAAACGCCUAAACAUUAACAAUGGGACUAGUUGAUGAAACAUACUUUAACAAAGAGAAGCACUUUCUUUAUCUACAUUGGAAUGAAAUGAUAGAGAUGACACUCGCUCUAUUUAACUGUAUUAUUACUUCAUUUUAUCAGUGACACUAGGGUCGAGCAGGUGGCAAACGAGGUGUACCGUGCGUCGCAAGGAUGGAGGCCGGGGGUGCUUAGACUGGGAUGCUGAAGCCGGCUCUUUCAGUCACCAACAUGGAUGAUUCAAUUCAUGGGCCCUUUUGGUGCAGUUCACCUAAAAUGAAGCAAUGUCCCGUGAGCUAGCAGCUUCUUCAAAAAAAAUUUAAGAAAAGGGCUCCAGCCCCGGUUCCAUUUCCAUCAGAAAAAGAAACCCACAGAGCUUCUUCUUCAUUAGUUGCAAUAAAAUUGAGCAACAUCAAGUUGGUUGUGAAGCUCCUGGAAUACUCAACUAUAAUUUGGAUAUCAUUUGUGCAGUUCAACUAAGAUCGAGCGUGAAAUGUAUAUCUCUGUUAGCACAAAAAAGGUGGAAAGGAGGGUGACUAACAAGUGAUGAAACAUGCAUCAAAUGAAAAGAAGCAUGUUCCUUAUCUGAAUGGCAAUCCUACAAGGACAGUAGCAAUUUCUAAAGCAGUGGCAUUGCUAGAUAUUAGUGUGGGCAUUAGGAUUAACUAUGACAACCGUUAAAUACGACAUUACUUUGGGCACGGGAGAGUAGGCGGACCAGGACAGUUGCAUUUCUAACGAAAACAACCAACUUAUCUUAAUGGGAAAUUUUAGCAGGACAUGUAAAGAAGUGCCAUUGAUUCAUAUUACUGGAGGCAUUACAUUGAAAACAACAUUGGUUUAACGUGUCCUUACUUUUAACAGUGCGACUACUACAUUUUACCAGUGGCAUUACAUAAGAGUGGCUCGGGGCAACAAACCUCAGAACAGGAUAUCUGGGUUGGUCCCAUUUUCUGCGGUAUAGCCACCUUAUACUGUGUGAGACUAGCAAAUCUAGUGCUGGACUUACUAUGUUGACUUGUCCCCCAGUUUCCACUUUCUUACCUUUUUCAACCAGUAGAUCGGGUUUAUAUUGAGUUUGUACUGCGUUUCCCUUUAUUUCCCUAUUAGACAUAGAGACCAGUUGGAUAGCCAGUCUCUGCUACUUUUCGCCCCCAUUAUUUCCUCUUUCGACCAAGUCCUAGAUUCAGGUAACAAAUCCUCCCCCACCCGCCACCCCCUUUCUUCCUUGUUUGAACCAAGUAGUACUAGAUUCGAGUGCAUGAACUAAAUUUACCUCUUAAACGUAAAAAAAUUAGGUGGUUUUCAAACAGCCGAUCGAUCCUAUCUACGAGGGGGCCUGAGAAAUAGUAAAAGUUACAAAUGCAGCGACGUCAAGAGCUCGGGAAGUAGAGCAAGGCCGGUUUCAAAGGAAGUUAUACCUGAUGGUCGCCAGGAUGUCGCUAGGUGGGCGGCGGGAGGCCAGAUCUGCCCACACUACGACAGCGAGGAAGAAGGGGUCGGAGGCCCUCCCUCGCCAGCGGUGCUUGGGAGAGAACGGCAAGGCAGGCUGAUCGGGACGCGCCCAGCAGUGGGUAAGAGCCGUCGCCGAGGACGACCGCAUGAACGUUGCACCUUCUCACCUUCCCCGGCGGAGAGGAUCCGGCUGGAUCUGUGACCAGCGGUGAGCAGAGAGAGAGAGUGUGGCCACCGCUGUCGUGUUUAGAUCUGGAGAGGCCGAGACGGUGUGAAGAGAGCAACAUUAGCAAGCAAGCGCGGAGGCUCCUGUCUAUAUGGUGGAGUAGUACUUAGUUUUAUUUUGUCUACCGGAGCCGGCUUGACCUCAUCAAUGAUUGUCGAGAAGUCUACAUGCACGUGGCCCGGAGGCGCAGUUGUCGUCAUUUUGAUCUGAAGCGCCGGACUAUAACAUAUAACAUAAAAAAUGCCACAUGACAAGAAAUCAUAACCUCACUGCCCAAAGGAGACAACAUGAAUCCCGACGGACAAACUAGACGAGGAACAAAUCUCAAAUUAAAGAUAAACUCGUAUAAAAGGGGUCCGUCGAUAGAUGUCCUAAUUAACAUAGCGGGCUUGACCUAGAUGGCAGCCGAGUAGUCACUAUUCGUGCAUGUGCCCCCAAUGACUAGCCCAACUAAGUUGUCGUUGUUUAACCCUCGCAGUGAUCCGAAGCACAUGACACAUAAUUUUAUGAGAUGACAAGAAACCUUUUUUUAGAUUUUUCACCACAACUACAGCCAUACAACACAGCCUGCACGAUAUGUAGACGAUAGCCAAUCCAGGCGUGUCUGCUAGAGUCUGGUCACAUGCAUGGACGAACUGAUCUUCCGUGUCUUGCAGGGAUCGUCCAGGCACCAACGUAGUACAACACUUCUCUAGUACUAUCGCUCGUCUCCCUCUUCUAUUAAGUCACCCGACUUGUGGAGCCGGGGAGUGUGCCUAUGGUCGGUUCUCGUCCCACAUGUGUGUGCGAACGCAAUAUGACGCUUGUUCCAUUCGGAGAGCAGCGUGCCAGACCGACCGACCGUCUGGUGUGCGACGUGCGUGCUGUAUACUCCGUACAUGUGUACCGUCGUUUUCUAGACGAUUUGCUCCAUGGCGCGGGCGCAAUCCAUGGAUACAAAAUUAGUAUACUAUAUACUAUUUAAAAGUCGACGGCGGGGCUUUUCCUGCCCGGUAGGCGGCGGGACAGUUCCGCCUAGUCGGUUCGACAGAGACGCGAGAAGACGAGGGAGUAGGCUGCUGCAAACGUAGGGAUGUGUGAUUUGACAGCGAGUUACUGUUGGACAGGUGGGGCCCCGUGAUUUGACUUGCCAUUAUCAUUUUAACUGCGGCGCUACGACCGGCGUGAGUCUUCCGAUUCCUGACCACCUCCAUACAGGUGACUCUCCCAAUGCUCCACCAUGUAGUAGUAGAGGCUGGCUCUUGCAUGAGAGCCUACUUCUCCAUUUUUUCCUUGCCUCUCUUUCCUCCAUAUAUGCAAAAAUGCCAUGUAAAGCGCACUAUUGUACUUACUUGCUGCUACAGGUGCUUAAGCUUGCCACAUAGGCAUAAAGUCUGAUGUGGCAAGUUAAUCAAGAAGAGAGAGACUAGUUUGGUGACCCAAGGAAGAAACGGUGCUAAGCGCGUGUACCUAGAUGAAAAGACAAUUUUGAGUCUAUAGCUAAUUAAAUGAAGCAAACUUAGCAACACCAUUUCGUUGGAAGAGGUCACUCCUUGGCAAAUGCAAUCUAUCUAUACCUAUACUCAUUACAGACUCCCAAAAAAUUACCACGUUAAUUAAAUUUUACGAGUAGUUCAUCUGGUAGGACCGAAUUAUUACGGUGUAGAUUUAAUCAUAGAGUCCUCAUCCAGAAAAAGACACUUUUCACACAAAGGAAAAAAAAAGAUACCAUGAGAUCUUAAAUCUGUUACGAUCUAAUACAAUAGCUAACCAUCUCUCACACGAUUUGAUUGUGUAAAAAAACCAUCACAGCCCGCACAGGUACGUGACCCAACCUACACAUAAUUACUGCAUGCGUUCUAUUUCUCCAUGGACAUAACCCCCAUACAGUCUCCUCCCCGUAGGCAUCUCCCCCCUUGCUCACGCAAUUGUCUUUCUCCUGUCCUUCUGAUCAUCAACGUUGUGUUAGAUCUACAGCAAAUCCAAUUCCACCAGGUCAUGCGCUCAUUGCGAUCGGCCUUGCUUCUUCCCGCCGGUGCCAUCAGCCCCUCUCUCUCUCUCUCUCUCUAUCUAUCUAUCUAUCUAUCUAUCUAUCUAUCUAUCUCUCUCUCUCAUCCUCGAGGACGCUGCCAGCUGCUGUCACUUUCAUCAGACAAUCUUCAGCAACCACUACAUAUCCUUGCCUCCCAGGUACACAAUUAGUGUUUUUGGUUCUUAUGAUUUCAAGUAGAACUGAUCCCAUCCAUUAUUCAGAUUUUGACAUCGUCAUACUGAGUUGUGUGUACCAGAAUUACGAGCAAUUUAUUCUCAUUAGAUGCAAACUUGAGAGAUUUAGUCAUAAAGUCAGGACAGUCAUAUGGGAUCAUCUUAAUUGAAAGAAGAGUAAUGUAACACUCUUUACCAAUGACUGAUGAUGAACAUCAUGGACUGAUUAUGUAAUUGGUUGCCUGUACAAGUUAUACAAAAUUGGGCGACGAAGUGCAAUGCAGGACCAUCCACUAUGCAGUGAAUAAUCUUUUAAGCAUCACCCUGCCCAGCCAUUUGAUCAGGUAAAUACUAUGUGUUGUCUCUCCGUGCGGUUUGUCAAUGAAAGCAUUGUUUAGCCAAUCCAGCCAGGGUGCAUACGGGAAUCUCUUCUUGGCUGCGGCACCAUCACGGCCGAGGAUGAGGUGAUAAGCUCGCCAUUAAGCAACUGGUCUGGUGAUGAAUUAAGCGUGUGAAGAAUCUUUUGAUCUGAGGUAGUAUAAUAUUGUUCUUGUUUAAUAACAAUGCAUUUUUAGCAUGCACCUCUUUAUGCUAUUUGUCUGCAGGUAGCGUUCAUGAACGGAAGACAGCGGUGAAGUAGCUAAUUGACUACGCAAGACAAAGAACUCACAUGUGUUAGUCCGUGGUGGCCAAAAAAGCGCACAUAUAUUAUACCCUCUCAAAUCACUCAAGCUAUGUGAUUUGUUUGGAGCAUGGAGAUUCGCUUAAUGAAAACAGUUUCAUGUUUUUAUCACAGAUUUCAGCUUUGCAGAUUUUCAUAUUUUAUACCGUAUCAUGACACUUUGUCUUCCACCACCAAUCUCCAUUGAUUCUCUCCCAUAUCCCUCAACUCUAACACUUAGCUUAAAACAUCCAAUUCUCUCGAUAAGAUCCGUGUCUCCCUUGAUCGCUAAUCAAGUUUCCAUCCGAUAGAUCUGAAUAUCUGAUAGAUAGAUGGAAACAUAAGUUUUCAUUCAUAAAUAGUAAGGAUUUAGAUUAAUAGUGAACAUCAUAUCUGUGUUAGUGAGAUUUUGUACUCAUAUAGAUUCGGUACAGACCCAAGGCUCUUGAAAGCUUGCGCAUAAGGGAUACACUCUAGUAUUUACAGAAUCUUCCGUAUGGGUCAAUAUUAAGAUCUGAAGACCUAUUAGCCCUGUGAACCAAGCCCUAAUCUGUAUCAUAAAAUGUACACUUGAGGGUGCCAAAUUGAAAAUUACACAAUGGACAUUCCUUGAUCCACAAAUAUUCUAGCUUCUUCAUCAGGUUCAUGGUAUGCAGCUUCUCCAUUAUGCAAUGGCUCCAAGCAGUCAAGUAGGCAAUAUAUUACCAAUCAUAAAUGCAGGAAAUUUAUAGAUGAAGACCUUGAUAUGUUAAGAAUAAUUUUAUAUAAUGUACCUUCUAAAUUGGUUUGCUCAACAAUGGGCUCAAACACUGCAUAUGGAUCAUUUGUGUGGUCAUUCCCACUGGAAAAUCAUAAAAGCAGUAGAGCACAACAAUGUAAGUAUUAUAGUAGACGUAGGAUCGGCAUAAGUAAUUAGCAGAUUUGUAGUGUUUUGAGUACCAUGCGGAGACAGUUCGACAAGGACUCUUGUAUCAUUAUACGGCAUAUUUUCAAGUGGAUUGGAGCCGGUAAAAGGCUCUAUACCUGAACAAAGGAAAGAGAACCCAGAUUUAUGGUCAAAUAAACAUUGUCGACACAUUUGCAUCAUAAUUAAAUCAACGAACUAACAUGCAUCUUCAAUGGUGCAAUCUGGGUCACGUAUUCUGCAGAGUUGGGGUAACUUAACCCCUGAAAUUUGGAUGUGAGUGUCUGCAUGCAAAGUAUAUUUUAUCCACAAGUUAGCACACGAGCAACAACAAAAACAGUAGCACAAAUUAGGAAUUGGUUGAUGAUACUCACACAAUGGUUGGUUGUUUCUUAAAUCCUGAAAUAGGGUACGCACCCGUGCAUGACUGGGAGAUGACAUACCGUCGUCUUCAUGUGAAUAUUCAUGUCAUUAAAUUGUUACAAGCAUGGAUAUUGUGCAAAGAAGUAUGAACAUAAACAUCACGUGCUGGUUUUAUAUUAGUGACAGGCAGAUAAGCAAUAUCUGUUUCAUCUUUGUAAACACACCACACUGCCCUUUUUGUUGAUAUUGUGUUUCAGUAGAGUUGUACAAUGUGCACAAGUCGCUAUUUUAAAUUCUGAAAGCCAACUUUUUUUCGACACCAGGAGCAGGAGAUAGGGUGCAUGCUUUAGUUAGAAAAACAGAUAAGGUGCAAUGGCUAAUUAUUUAGAACUCUAUUCUCAAACAUCUAAUAAUCAUGAGUAAUGUUGCAACAGGUAGGAAGAAGUCGAACCUGAAGAAGUACAUGGUGGAAUCACAGCUGCGUGUGGCCGGCUGGUUCAGGGGACGCAGCGGGCGUGGGUGCAGGGCGGCCACUGACGCGGCAGCAGGGCCAGUGCCGGGGCAGGCUCUAUCUCUCCUGGGUGCUGGCGAUCUCACGGGAUGGAUGCCACGCUAUGAGCGGCAACAAUCGGCGAUGGCGAUCAUGCAGGGAGGCGACGGAGCGGUGUAGUGCAGUGCGGCGAGGUGGCCGUGCAGGCAGGAGACGCUGUUGGUGGGUGGCGUCUGGCACCAAGUCGUCGUCGUGCCAGACGAUGAGGUCGACAUGAGUGACAACAAUCGGUGAUGGCGAUCAGGGAGGUGACGGAGCGGUGCAGUCCGGCGAGGUCACCGUGCAGGCAGGAGACGUUGUUGGUGGGCGGCGUCUGGCACCAAGUCACCGUCGUGCCAGACGAUGAGGUCGAGAUCAAGGGCAUGGAGUUGCCUUAGUUUGCGAUCAAUUUUCGUGAUUGUAGGGACGCAGACUGGUAGUUCCAGUACAAGUACAAGGGCGUGGAGUUGCCUUAGUUUGCGAUCAGAUUUCCGUGAUUGUAGGGCCGUGGGAUUGGUAGUUCCAGUCUGCUCCUGGUGAAGCACGGUGAGUCAUUGGAAAUUGCUACAUGCACACCAUAGAGGUAUUAGAUCAAUGAUGGCUGUUAGAUUUAGAAUUGUGGGCCUAAUCGAGUGGUGCUGAUUGGUAUGUGCGGGUUUGUGGGACUAAUUGCGGGGUGCAUCUAAAAAAGUUCUUGUUUGAUUGUUUAAUAGUUGAUGAAUGAAUUAGACACACCUUUUAAAAUUAGGCUCACUCGCAGUCUCUCCACCGCCCCCGCGGGGUACGCCCAAAUCUCCACGCCAUUCCCCAUUCUCCUGGUCGCGCUCCCCCUUUAGGUAGCUCCUCCCCUUCGUCCCCACAGCCGACGCGAGGUCCGCACGCCCCUUCACGUUGAUCCGGUCCCCGAAGUCCCCGAGGAGGCACUCGAGCUCGGCAUGCUCGCGAGCGACCCAUUGCAAGGGGCCAUCUGAGGCGGAAGCGGUGGCCCGGGAUUCGUCUCAUCCGCAUCGGCGGCCGCGGCCAUCCAGUGCUGGCGUUGCCCAAGCACGGAGCAGGCCCCGACACCUCAACAGCUGGAGCAGUUCGGGUGCUUCGCUUUCACCGGCGAGCUGCCCCUGCCUGCCCCCAGAUGUGCGUCGGCCCGCGGAGGGGAGGGGUCGAAGAAGCAAAAGCGCUGGUAGGGGAGGAGACGGAGAGGAGGCGGAAUGAGGUUCUAGAUGGUUCUGGCGGUGCGAAUAACCCAGGCGUCGCGCCCAUCAUCGCCUUUGCCGGCUGCGAGAACUCCCGCUCCACGCGCCAAUGGCAGCUGGUAAGCCCACGCGUAACUACAAAAUUUCAGAAUUUGGUUCUACUAACUAUAAUAUUUUUUCCUGUGAGUUAUAGUAUGAGGUUGUACUAACUAAAUUUCUUACUAUGAGUUGUACUGACGUGCAGCCGGUAACUUAGUUGGUUACAGAGGGAGUAUCUUAACUCAACUGAUAGUGUACUAUUUCUUCCUAUCAGUAGCCGCAAUGAUAUCUUUUGUUAUGAAUAUAGACCAGAUUUAAGAUCUGAUGCCUACAUUACCAUUAAGCAUAUGUAGUGAACCCUUUUCUCCAUGUAGUUGGUACUGUAAGCUCUUUUCUCUAACUUGUUCCUAUUUUACCUUUUUCGUAGCGAGAUACAGUGGUACAUACAAAAGUCUGAACUGAAAUGGAUAGCUGUAGUUCUCAUUGCAGAGUGGUACUCCCUCUGUAAAGUGUUCUUGUAUUUCUUUGUGGGGGAAGUAUUUGUUUGCUUUACAUUGUCAAAAAAAGAACUGUUUGGUUUACAAGGUUUUAGGAUUCCUUUUAGGUGAUGUUGUCAAAAUCAUAGCUCCUGUAUUGAAGUAUGAUAUGGAUCUAUGAUAUUUCUCCUCUGCAGGGACCAAGGGAUAUGUGAAAUUGACAAGGAAAAGAAAACUUCAGAUGUGAACACCUCUGUUAAGUAUUAUCUUUAUUUCAUUAUUACUAAUGUGUCGCCUGAUAGCUCGAUCUCUUCCAUACAUACAUAUAUGGUUAUUUCAGUCAUGUGCUAUAUUUGUCUCGUAAAGUCAGUGCCCGUCAAUACUUUCUUUCGCUAAUCAAGUUUCCAUCUGAUAGAUCUGAUAGAUAGAUGGAAACAUAAGUUUUCAUUCAUAAAUAGUAAGGAUUUAGAUUAAUAGUGAACAGCAUAUCUGUGUUAGUGAGAUUUUGUACUAAUAUAGAUUCGGUACAGACCCAAGGCUCUUGAAAGCUUGCGCAUAAGGGAUACACUCUGGUAUUUACAGAAUCUUCCGUAUGGGUCAAUAUUAAGAUCUGAAGACCUAUUAGUCCUGUGAACCAAGCCCUGAUCUGUAUCAUAAGAUGUACACUUGAGGGUGCCAAAUUGAAAAUUACACAAUGGACAUUCCUUGAUCCACAAAUAUUCUAGCUUCUUCAUCAGGUUCAUGGUAUGCAGCUUCUCCAUUAUGCAAUGGCUCCAAGCAGUCAAGUAGGCAAUAUAUUACCAAUCAUAAAUGCAGGAAAUUUAUAGAUGAAGACCUUGAUAUGUUAAGAAUAAUUUUAUAUAAUGUACCUUCUAAAUUAGUUUGCUCAACAAUGGGCUCAAACACUGCAUAUGGAUCAUUUGUCUGGUCAUUCCCACUGGAAAAUCAUAAAAGCAGUAGAGCACAACAAUGUAAGUAUUAUAGUAGACGUAGGAUCGACAUAAGUAAUUAGCAGAUUUGUAGUGUUUUGAGUACCAUGCGGAGACGGUUCGACAAUGACUCUUGUAUCAUUAUACGGCAUAUUUUCAAGUGGAUUGGAGCCGGUAAAAGGCUCUAUACCUGAACAAAGGAAAGAGAACCCAGAUUUAUGGUCAAAUAAGCAUUGUCGACACAUUUGCAUCAUAAUUAAAUCAACGAACUAACAUGCAUCUUCAAUGGUGCAAUCUGGGUCACGUAUUCUGCAGAGUUGGGGUACCUUAACCCCUGAAAUUUGGAUGUGAGUGCCUGCAUUCAAAGUAUAUUUUAUCCACAAGUUAGCACACGAGCAACAACAAAAACAGUAGCACAAAUUAGGAAUUGGUUGAUGAUACUCACCCAAUGGUUGGUUGUUGCUUAAAUCCUGAAAUAGGGUACGCGCCCGUGCACGACUGGGAGAUGACAUACCGUCGUCUUCAUGUGAAUAUUCAUGUCAUUAAAUUGUUAGAAGCAUGGAUAUUGUCAUAUAAGUAUGAACAUCAACAUCAAGUGCUGGUUUUAUAUUAGUGACAGGCAGAUAAGCAAUAUCUGUUUCAUCUUUGUAAACAUACCACACUGUCCUUUUUGUUGAUAUUGUGUUUCAGUAGAGUUGUACAAUGUGCACAAGUCGCUAUUGUAAAUUCUGAAAGCCAACUUUUUUUCGACACCAGGAGCAGGAGAUAGGGUGCAUGGUUUAGUUAGAAAAACAGAUAAGGUGCAAUGGCUAAUUAUUUAGAACUCUAUUCUCAAACAUCUAAUAAUCAUGAGUAAUGUUGCAACAGGUAGGAAGAAGUCGAACCUGAAGAAGUACAUGGAGGAAUCACAGCUGCGUGUGGCCGGCUGGUUCAAUGGACGCGGCGGGCGCGGGUGCAGGGCGGCCCCUGACGCGGCAGCAGGGCCAGUGCUGGGGCAGGCUCUAUCUCUCCUGGGCGCUGGCGAUCUCGCAGGAUGGAUGCCACGCUGUGAGCGGCAACAAUCGGCGAUGGCGAUCAUGCAAGGAUGCGACGGAGCGGUGCAGUGCAGUGAGGCGAGGUGGCCGUGCAGGCAAGAGACGCUGUUGGUGGGUGGCGUCUGGCAGCAAGUCGCCGUCGUGCCGGAUAAUGAGGUCGACAUGAGUGGCAACAAUCGGCGAUGGCGAUCAGGGAGGUGACCGAGCGGUGCCGUGCGGCAAGGUCACCGUGCAGGCAGGAGACAUUGUUGGUGGGCAGCGUCUGGCACCAAGUCACCAUCGUGCCAGACGAUGAGGUCGAGAUCAAGGGCAUGGAGUUGCCUUAGUUUGCGAUCAGUUUCCAUGAUUGUAGGGACGCGGACUGGUAGUUCCAGUACAAGUACAAGGGCGUGGAGUUGCCUUAGUUUGCGAUCAGAUUUCCGUGAUUGUAGGGGCCGCGGGAUUGGUAGUUCCAGUCCGCUCCUGGUGAAGUAUGGUCAGUCAUUGGAAAUUGCUACGUGCACACCAUAGAGGUAUUAGAUCAAUGAUGGCUGUUAGAUUUAGAAUUGUGGGCCUAAUCGAGUGGUGCUGAUUGGUUUGUGCGGGUUUGUGGGACUAAUUGCGGGAUGCACCUAAAAAAGUUCUUGUUUGAUUGUUUAAUAGUAUAAAUAAUAAAUAAAUAUAAAUAUUGAUUGUUUAAUAGUAUAAGUAUAGAUUUGUCAGCUACCUUAAGCUGCGCUACUGCAAGAAGAAUAUUGUGUUGCCUAAAAAGACAAGAAUAUUGCAUCAAUUUUUCAGUGUCGACAAAAGUACACCGCAGUCCAUCCGUAUUAGCGUGCUACAAUUUCACAGCAGAGCAUUGUAGGCAUCUUUUUGCCCAGAAAUUUAUCUGCUAAUCUGGGUUGAACACAUGACAUCUCUUUUUAUCCAAGAGUAUAUUUAGUGUCUACGCUUUCAUGUUGCUCCAUUCUUUUUCUGAAAGGAUUGCCCAAUGUUUGUCAGAGCUUCAUUAUGUAAGCUCUGUACAUUGCCCUGUCCGGGUCUUAUUGUGUACAUUCAUACAUUCAAAUUUGGUUGCGUCCUUCUAUUAAGUGCCACAGAUUACAGGGAGCCCCUAUUUCACGCGUAGGUCGGUGAAUAGCGACCAACCUGAAAUCCACCCCCCCCCCACCCCCCGCGUUGCCGCCCCUCCGCGCAUUUUGGGCCGGCCCAAAUGGGGCUUAGCGCUCCUUUUUUGUUGUUUUUUUCAUUUUUCUUCUGUCAUUUUAAUUUUUGUUUCUUCUUUUUUUGUUUUUAUUUUUUCUUAGAGAACUGUUCACGAAUCUCAAUUUCAAGAAAAUGUUUGAGAUUUAAAGAAAUUCUUAAUUUCAAAAACUUUACACUAAUUUUUUAGAAAAAUCAUGAAUUAAAAAUAUACAAAAAUUUGAAAAAUGUUUAAUGAAUUCAAGAAAUAUCAUGAAUUCAAAAAAUGUUCUUGAUCCUAAAAUAAAUGUUACUGAAUUUCAAAAAAGUUCAUUGAUUCAAAAAAUGUUGAUAAGUUUCAAAAAAGAUUUAUCAAUUUAAAAAUAUUCAUAAAUUUCCAGAAAUGAUCUAAGAUUUGAAAAUGGCUUGUGAGUUAAAAAAUCACAGAUUUGAUAAAGUUCACGACUUUGAAAAAAAGUUUGAGCACUUGCAAAAUAAAAAAGAAUUAAAGGAAAUAAAAAUGGAAAAUAAAACAAAACAACGGAGAAAAAACCGGUAGAAAGAAGCAAGAAAAAAAUUGAGGCUGCCACCAAUGGCGAGGAAGAGUAAAACAUGGGAGGCUGCAACCGAUAACGAGGAAGAGUAAAACAUAGGAGAACGCAACCGAUAGCGAGGAAGAGUAGAACGUGGGAGGCUGUCACUGCUUGGGUCUCAAGAAAGCCACCGCCAAAGUCUUGUUGGGCCUCACAGCCGGUGAGCUUGCCCGCUUCACAGAGGUGGAGGCCACUAUUUCAUCCCCUCAUGCUGAAGCUAAACUUGGUGGGCGCAUCGCCCAUCAGUGAGCUUGCCCGAUUCGUGGAGGCGAAGACUACUCUUCCCUUUAUGUUGAAGCUUCAUUUUCUGGGGUUCAGGGCCAUCCGGUGUGCUUGUUGUUGGACAUGGGAAAAACAUGUAGUGCAAAACGCGUGUCGCCACUGCCGGCGAUCUUUUAGACUAGAUUAGAAUAGCCUAGUCGGCUAUAGUUUAGUUGAAAUAUGUCGAGAAUGUAAUGUGCCUGCUCCAGUUUAGAUGAAAAUGAUCCGGUUUUAUGUACGAAUUCUCUAAGUUCGUAUGAAAAUUGUCCAGUUUGUUUAAGUUUACAUCAAAUGUGACUGGGCGUUUGCAACUACCUUUGGAUGAUCGGUUCCCAUAUUAGUGUCCGGACCGGUCCGUAGACAUAUCCAGUGUCCGUCUUAGGGAUCCGUGUUAGAGAUACCCUAACAUAUAUAUGCAUGUUACUAGACUAAACUAUUAAUGCACACAUGCAACACACAUUAAUAUUUAGGCAAUAUAUUAAUUGCACGUGGAUAUUACGUACGAUAGUAUUUAUGUGUUAAUUCUGUGAUUAGUGUAAUAUUUGGUAUGAUAUUAAUUGCAUGUUAAACACGUUGAACGCUCGCUAUUGGAGCAGUCUAGGUCGUUGGAAUGACUUAAUUUGAUGGUCGAGAUCAAUUGGAUCUACCCCUUUGAGUCUUUUUAUAUUGAUAUAGAUAAAUUAUUUCCCACUACAACAUGUUUGGAUUAUCGUGUUGUUUUUGAAGACACCUAAAUAAUACACGUCUCAGCUCAUCGUUUUGUCUCCGACCGAAAAUUCCUAAGCAUCUAGUAAGAUUCUAGUGUAAAAUAAACACCUUCGUAUUAUUAAACUACAAUAAUUCCAAGCGCGGCCUAACUCGUAUCUACACGGAGAGUCGGCACCAUGGGACAUCGUCAUCGCGAUGUUAGCAUGUGGGCCAUGUAACACCCCCUGUAUGGGUUGUCACCUUGUGGUUUGUACCUGCGUGUGGGCUAUAAGAUGGCCCAAGGGGUAUCCUUGUGUGGGCCUGGUAGGAAGAGUAUAUGUAUCGCGUUUGUUACACCAUUCCCCUAAAAAACCUAAGGAACUCAUUGUGCAGAAUGCAUCAAUGAUACUUUGCUGGUGGUAAUCCCCAUGGUAACAAAGCCAAUGCUUAUUUCUCAGUUCAAGCUCAUAAGUUUGAGUAAUGUGCUCUACCAGAUAACAUCAAAGGUGAUAGCAAACAUGAUGAAAGUUAUCCCGCGCGACAUUAUCUCUAAGGAACAAUCAACAUUUGUGCCUGGAAGGCUCAUUACAGAAAACGUCAUUAGUUUUGAUGAAUGUAUUCACUUCAUGAAAAGAAGCAAAUCCGAGGACAACAGCUAUUGUGCUCUCAAGCUAGACAUGAUGAAAGCGUUGUUGGGGAAUGCAUCAAUUUCAAAAAAAUUCCUAGUAUCACGCAAGAUCUAUCUAUGUGAUGCAUAGCAAUGAGAGGGGAGAGUGUGUCCACGUACCCUCCUAGACCGAAAGCAGAAGCAUUUAAUUAACGCGGUUGAUGUAGUCGAACAUCUUUGCGAUCCAACCGAUCCAAGUACCGAACGUAUGGCACCUCUGCGUUCAGCACAUGUUCAGCUCGAGGACGUCCCUCGUACUCUUGAUCCAGUUGAGGCCGAGGGAGAGUUUCAUCAGCACGAAGGCGUGGUGACGGUGAUGAUGAAGUUACCGGCGUAGGACUUUGCCUAAGCACUACGAUGAUAUGACCGAGGUGUGUAACCGUGGAGGGGGGCACCACACACGGCUAAACAAUGUCAACUUGUGUGUCUAUGGGGUGCCCCCCUCCCCCGUAUAUAAAGGAGUUGAGGAGGGGAAAGGGCCGGCCCUCUGUGGCGCGCCCUAGAGGAGUCCUACUCCCACUGGGAGUAGGAUUCCCCCCCCCCCUUCCCUAGUUGGAGUAGGAGAGGAAGGAAGGGGCAGGAAGGAGGAAAGAAAGGGGGGUUGGCCCCCCACCCAAUUCGGAUUGGGCUUGGGCGGGCGCGCACCCUCCUAGGCUCCCUUCUCCUCUCUCCCACUAUGGCCCAAUAAGGCCCAUAUACUUCCCGGGGGGGGUCCGUAACCUCCCAGUACUCCGGUAUAUGCCCGAACUCACCCGAAACCAUUCCGAUGUCCAAACAUAGGCUUCCAAUAUAUCGAUAUUUAUGUCUCUACCAUUUAGAGACUCCUCGUCAUGUCCGUGAUCACAUCCGGGACUCCGAACUACCUUCGGAGCAUCAAAACACAUAAACUCAUAAUACCAAUCGUCAUUGAACAUUAAGCGCGCGGACCCUACAGGUUCGAGAACUAUGUAGACAUGACCUAGACACGUCUCCGGUCAAUAACCAAUAGCGGAACCUGGAUGCUCAUAUUGUUUCCUACAUAUUCUACGAAGAUCUUUAUCGGUCAAACCACAUACAACAUACAUUAUUCCCUUUGUCAUCGGUAUGUUACUUGCCCGAGAUUCGAUCGUCGGUAUCUCAAUACCUAGUUCAAUCUCGUUACCGGCAAGUCUCUUUACUCGUUCCGUAAUACUUCAUCCCGCAACUAACUCAUUUGUCACAAUUCUUGCAAGGCUUAUAGUGAUGAGUAUUACCGAGAGGGACCAGAGAUACCUCUCAAAACAUGGAGUGACAAAUCCUAAUCUCGAUAUAUGACAACCCAACAAACACCUUCGGGGACACCUGUAGAGCACCUUUAUAAUCACCCUUUUACGUUGUCACGUUUGGUAGCACACAAAUUGUUGCUCCGGUAUCCGGGAGUUGCAUAAUCUCAUAGUCUGAGGAACUUGUAUAAGUCAUGAAGAAAGCAGUAGCAAUGAAACUAACAUGAUCAUAAUGCUAAGCUAACGGAUGGGUCAUGUCCAUCACGUCAUUCUCCUAAUGAUGUGACCCCGUUCAUCAAAUGACAACACAUGCCUAUGGUUAGGAAACUUAACCAUCUUUGAUUAACAAGCUAGUCAAGUAGAGGCAUACUAGGGACUAUAUGUUUUGUCUAUGUAUUCACUCAUGUACUAAGUUUCCGGUUAAUACAAUUCUAGCAUGAAUAAUAAACAUUUAUCAUGAAUUAAGGAAAUAAAUAAUAACUUUAUUGUUGCCUCUAGAGCAUAUUUCCUUCAGUCUCCCACUUGCACUAGAGUCAAUAAUCUAGAUUACAUAGUAAUGAUUCUAACACCCAUGGAGCUUUGGUGUUGAGCAUGUUUUGCUCGUGGGAGAGGCUUAGUCAACUGGUCUGCAACAUUCAGAUCCGUGUGUAUCUUGCAAAUCUCCAUGUCCCGUUCCGACACUUGAUGACAGAUGGAAUUGAAGCGUCUCUUGAUGUGCUUGGUUCUAUUGUGAAAUCUGGAUUCCUUUGCCAAGGCAAUUGCACCAUUAUUGUCACAAAAGAUUUUUAUUGGACCCGAUGCACUAGGUAUGACACCUAGAUCGGAUAUGAACUCCUUCAUACAAACUCCUUCAUUCGCUGCUUCUGAAGUAGCAAUGUACUCCGCUUCACAUGUAGAUCCCGCCACGACGCUCUGCUUGGAACUGCACCAACUGACAACUCCUCCAUUCAGUAAAAAUAUGAAUCCGGUUUGUGAGUUAGAGUCAUCCGGAUCAGUAUCAAAGCUUGCGUCGAUGUAACCAUUUACGACGAGCUAUUUUUCACCUCCAUAAACAAGAAACAUAUCCUUAGUCCUUUUCAGGUAUUUCAUGAUGUUUUUGACCGAUGUCCAGCGCUCCACUCCGGCAUUACUUUGGUACCUCCCUGCUAUGCUUAUAGCAAGACAUGCAUUAGGUCUGGUACACAACAUUGCAAACAUGAUAGAACUUAUGGCUGAUGCAUAGGGAAUGACUUCCAUUUUCUCUCUAUCUUCUGCGGCGGUCGGGCUUUGAGUUUGACUCAACUUCACACCUUGUAACAAAGGUAAGAAUCCUUUCGUUGACUGAUCCAUUUUGAACUUCUUCAAAACUUUAUCAAGGUCUGUGCUUUGUGAAAGUCCAAUUAAGCGUCUUGAUCUAUCUCUAUAGAUCUUGAUGCCCAAUAUGAAAGCAACUUCUCCAGAAAUUCUAUAUCAUUUCAAAUCAACAAUAUGUCAUCAACAUAUGAGAUCUGAAAUGCUACAGAGCUCCGACUCAGUUUCUUGUAAAUAUAGGCUUCUCCAAAAGUCUGUAUAAAACCAUAUGCUUUGAUCACACUAUCAAAGAAUUUAUGCCAACUCCGAGAGGCUUGCACCAGUCCAUAAAUGGAUCGCUGGAGCUUGCACACUUUGCUAGCACCCUUUGGAUCGACAAAACCUUCUGGUUGCAUCAUAUACAUCUCUUCUUCCAGAAAUCCAUUCAGGAAUGCAGUUUUUGACAUCCAUUCGCCAAAUUUCAUAUUCAUAAAAUGUAACAAUUGCUAACAUGAUUCGAACAGACUUAAUCAUCGCUACGGGCGAGAAAGUCUCAUCGUAGUCAACUCCUUCAACUUGUCGAAAACCUUUCGUAACUAGUCGAGCUUUGUAAACAGUAACAUUACCGUCUGCGUCCGUCUUCUUCUUAAAGAUCCAUUUUCUAUGGCUUGCCGAUCAUCGGGCAAGUCCACCAAAUUCCACACUCUGUUCUCAUACAUGGAUCCCAUCUCAGAUUUCAUGGCCUCAAGCCAUUUCGCGGAAUCUAGGCUCAUCAUCGCUUCCUCAUAGUUUGUAGGUUCAUCAUGGUCUAGUAACAUGACUUCCAAAACAGGGUUACCGUACCACUCUGGUGCAGAUCUUACUCUCAAAGACCUACGAGGUUCGGUAGUAACUUGAUCUGAAGCUUCAUGAUCAUCAUAAUUAGCUUCCUCACUAACUGGUGUAGGAAUCACAGGAACUAAUUUCUGCAAUGAACUACUUUCCAAUAAGGGAGCGGGUACAGUUACCUCAUCAAGUUCUACUUUUCUCCCACUCACUUCUUUCGAGAGAAACUCCUUCUCUAGAAAGGAUCCUUUCUUAGCAACAAAGAUUUUGCCUUUGGAUGUGUGAUAGAAGGUGUACCUAAAAGUUUCCUUUGGGUAUCCUAUGAAGACGCAUUUCUCUGAUUAGGGUUCGAGCUUAUCAGGUUGAAGCUUUUUCACAUAAGCAUCGCAGCCCCAAACUUUAAGAAACGACAACUUUGGUUUCUUGCCAAACCACAAUUCAUAAGGCAUCGUCUCAAUGGAUUUUGAUGGUGCCCUAUUUAAAGUGAAUACAGCCGUCUCUAGAGCAUAACCCCAAAAUGAUAGCGGUAAAUCAGUAAGAGACAUCAUAGAUCGCACCAUAUCUAAUAAAGUACGGUUACGACGUCCGGACACACCAUUUCGCUGUGGUGUUCCAGGUGGCGUUAAAUGUGAAACUAUCCCAUGUUGUUUCAAAUGAAGAGCAAACUCGCAACUCAAAUAUUCUCCUCCAUGAUCAGAUCGUAGAAACUUUAUUUUCUUGUUACCAUGAUUUUCCACUUCACUCUAAAAUUCUAUGAACUUUUCAAAUGUUUCAGACUUAUGCUUCAUUAAGUAGAUAUAACCAUAUCUGCUCAAAUCAUCUGCGAAGGUAAGAAAAUAAUGAUACCUGCCACGAGCAUCAAUACUCAUUGGACCGUAUACAUCGGUAUGUAUUAUUUCCAACAAGUCAGUACCUCGUUCCAUUGUUCCGGAGAACGGAGUUUUAGUCAUCUUGCCCAUAAGGCACGGUUCGCAAGCACCAAGUGAUUCAUAAUCAAGUGAUUCCAAAAGUCCAUCCAUAUGGAGUUUCUUCAUGCGCUUUAUACCGAUAUGACCCAAACGGCAGUGCCACAAAUAAGUUGCACUAUCAUUAUUAAACAUUAAUAUUUUGGCUCCAACACUAUGAAUAUGUGUAUCACUACUAUUGAGAUUCAACAAAAAUAGACGACUCAGCAGGGGUGCAUGACCAUAAAAGAUAUUACUCAUAUAAAUAGAACAACCAUUAUUCUCUGACUUAAAUGAAUAACCGUCUCGCAUCAAACAAGAUCUAGAUAUAAUGUUCAUGCUCAACGCUGGCACCAAAUAACAAUUAUUCAUGUCUAAAAUUUUAAUCCCGAUGGUAGAUGUAGAGGUAGCGUGCCGACCGCGAUCACAUCGACUUUGGAACCAUUUCCACGCGCAUCGUUACCUCGUCCUUAGCCAAUCUUCGCUUAAUCCGCAGCCCCUGUUUUGAGUUGCAAAUAUGAGCAACAGAACCAGUAUCAAAUACCCAGGCGCUACUGUGAGCAUUAGUUAAGUACACAUCAAUAACAUGUAUAUAAAAUAUACCUUUCACUUUGCCAUCCUUCGUAUCCGCCAAAUACUCGGGGCAGUUCCACUUUUAGUGACCAGUCCCUUUGCAGUAAAAGCACUUAGUUUCAGGCUUAGCUCCAGACUUGGGUUUCUUCUCUUGAGCAGCAACCUUUUUGCCAUUCUUCUUGAAAUUCCCUUUCUUCCCUUUGCCCUUUUUCUUGAAACUGGUGGUCUUAUUGACCAUCAACACGUGAUGCUCCUUUUUGAUUUCUACCUCCGCGGCCUUUAGCAUCGCGAAGAGCUCGGUAAUAGUCUUGUUCAUCCCUUGCAUAUUAUAUUUCAUCAUGAAGCUUUUGUAGCUUGGUGCUAGUGAUUGAAGAACUCUGUCAAUGACAUUAUCGUCAGCAAGAUUAACUCCCAGUUGAGUCAAGUGGUUGUGCUACCCAGACAUUCUGAGUAUUUGUUCACUGACAAAACUAUUCUCCUCCAUUUUACAGUUGUAGAACUUAUUGGAGACUUCAUAUCUCUCAAUCCGGGCAUUUGACUAAAAUAUUAACAUCAACUCCUGGAACAUCUCAUAUGCUCCAUGACGUUCAAAACGUCGUUGAAGUCCAGGUUCUAAGCCGUAAAGCAUGGCACACUAAACUAUCGAGUAGUCAUCAACACGUGUCUGCCAGGCAUUCACAAUGUCUGCAGUUGCGGGCGCGGGUGGUACACCUAACGGUGUUUCCAAGACGUAAUUCUUCUGUACAGCAAUGAGGAUAAGCCUCAAGUUAUGGACCCAAUCCGUGUAGUUGCUGCCAUCAUGUUUCAACUUAGCUUUCUCAAGGAACGCAUUAAAAUUCAAAGGAACGGUAGCACGGGCCAUUGAUCUACAACAACACAGACAUGCAAAAUACUAUCAGGUACUAAGUUCAUGAUAAAUUAAAGUUCAAUUAAUCAUAUUACUUAAGAACUCCCAGUUAGAUAGACAUCCCUCUAAUCAUCUAAGUUAUCACGUGAUCCAAAUCAACUAAACCAUGUCCGAUCAUCACGUGAGAUGGAGUAGUUUUCAAUGGUGAACAUCACUAUGUUGAUCAUAUCUACUAUAUGAUUCAUGUUCGACCUUUCGGUGUCAGUGUUGCGAGGCCAUAUCUGCAUAUCUUAGGCUUGUCAAGUUUAAUCCGAGUAUUCUACGUGUGCAACACUGGCUUGCACCCGUUAUAUGUGAAUGUAGAGCUUAUCACACCCGAUCAUCAUGUGGUGUCUCGGCACGACGAACUUUAGCAGCGGUGCAUACUCAGGGAGAACACUUGUACCUUGAAAUUUAGUAAGGGAUCAUCUUAUCAUGCUACCGACGUUCUAAGCAAAAUAUGAAACUGUGCAUCAUAUGAAGAUGUGCUAUGCAUGAAUGUUGAUCAGCAUGAUGUUAACUGGCUGGUAGUUCCCUUUUCGACAACGAAUAAAACUUCCAACAUGAUGUUAACCCUGUUUGAAAAGGCCGUGUUAAUAUAAAUGCUCUGCCUCUGAAAGUUACAGUUUCUUAUCUGAAACUGAACUUGCAGUUUCUUAUCUGAAACUGAAACUUGCAGUUUCUUCUCGUCUGCACUUUUAUACUCCUAUGAAACUACAUUUUUUAAGUGCUAAAAAUAGAUCUCUAGAAUUCAUAAAAUUCUUCAUAUGCUCAAUACUGCAAAUCUGAAAUUCAAAAGACAUUCAUAUCUGAAAGUACUCUCAAAAUACACAACACAAAACACAAUUCACAACCAGCAAAUACUGACAAUCCUAAGCUCCUCUUGACAAUUCAAACCUGCCCGACUAUUGGGCAGGGGGCAGUCCCCUCCUAUUCCUUGGUGGCAGACAGCCGCCCCGUGAGACGAUGUGAAUGGCGAGGGAGACGAUGGCAGGGAAGCGUCAUCGGGCCAACUGCUUUUCUCCUCUUAUAGUUGGGUUCGGUCGAUGAAGACACCACCGGCUCGCUCUUGUAGGACACCCUCACAAACGGCACACUCUAGAUGCUCGAUCCUUCAAUCUCUGGUGGAUGCUCCAUCUAGGAUCGAUACUCCCACCACCGCUCCCUCACGAUCGGAUUCGGUGAAUCUGUUUGCUCCAUGGUCCAGAGGAGUAGCUCUAUGUACUCCGGCGCGACUCCCUCCGGGAGUAUCGCCGCCUUUUCGCUCUGUUGCAGAUAUUUGGCCAUGGAUGUCGCCGUCGCCGCUAGUUGGUCCCUGUUGUCAAACCAAGACUGUGUCUCCAACAUCCUAGCUAGCUUCACAGGGUCGCCGUCUGCGAUCCUCGCGUAUCGGUUGUACUCCUCCAUCGAUCUACUUCUGCACAGGACCUUCACUCACCGGCAGUGGUUUUUGAAUGGAAGAGGAGAGGAGCGGCACUGGUUUCAGAUUAGAACGGGAGAGGAGCGACGCUGGUUUUGGACUGGAACAGGAGAGGAGGGGCGGUGGUUUUGAAAUGGAAGAGGAUAGGAGCGGCACUGGAUUUAGAUUGGAACAGAAGAGGAGCGGCGGUGGUUUAAGAGGAGAAGAGCGGAAGAGCGGGGCUGAUCUAGGAAGUAUUUUUUUAUUCUUUUGCGUAUUUUGGGUCAAAGUUUGACCCCGUAUUGUAUGUGACAAGCAAAAUGUGAAUGCAUGUCACCAAAAAUUGUAUCGUUUGGUUUGUAUCUGAAUGUACUUUCAAAUUAUAUUAUUUUUGCAACGUAUAACAUAUAUUUUAUGUGCGAAAAUCAUGGUCAAUUAUGACCCAAAAUAAAAGGGAGACUAGUUAAUGUGGGGCCGCUUUCUCAAUUGAAGGGUAAAUUGAUUUUGAUUUUGAUCCAGUCACAGCGCGCCGGCCCUCUCGCCCAAUCCUAAAUCGCUGCCGCACGCUCCUCUCCCUCUUCUCCAUUGCAAAAUCACCUCCUCUCAUCUCCAUCAUCUCCAUUCCAAAACCACCGUCUCGCCUCUCCCUCUUCUGAUCUUCUCCAUUGCAAAACCACCUCCUCUCCUCUCCAUCAUCUCCAUUCCAAAACCACCUCCUACCCUCUCCAUCAUCUCCAUUCCAAAACCACUAUCUCGCCUCUCCCUCUUCUGAUCUUCUCUCCAUUGCAAACCCACCUCCUCUCCUCUCCAUCAUCUCCAUUCCAAAACCACCUCCUCUCCUCUCCCUCUUCUCUAUUGCAAGAGCAUCGUCUCUCCUCCCAUCUUCCAAAUCUAGCACCGGACCACUCAGAACGACAUCUAUCUAUGGAGAGGAUGCAGCAGCGAAUCAGGCACAUCGCCGGCGGCGACCAGGCAAAGUUAGCCAGGUUGAAGGAGAUCCUUAGUUGGUUUGACAAUGAGUGGGAGAUUUCGAGGACGGUGCGGGCCAUGUGUCAAUGUAUGCGAAAGAGCGAGACGGCGGCGAUGUACAUGUACUCCUCGGCGGCAGUCACGCCGCAGUCCUCCGAGUUCAUCGAGUAUCUCCUAUGGGCGAUGUAGUAGACAGAUUCGCCCGAGGCGACAGUCAGGCAGACGUGGUGGGCGUACAGGUCGAAGGUCGAGCACCCACAGGAUAACGAAUUGAUCGAGUAUGGUGUGUCGUUCGUGAGGGUGCAGAGCCAGCCGGAGCCAAAGGAGUAUUCGUUCUCCCACCACAAGAGGAGGCCGGAUGGCGCGACGUCGCUUCCCCGAUGUUCUCCACGGUUCCCUCGACGCUCGCCUUAUUUCAACGGCGACGGUAGGGUUUAAGGAAAGCUUCGCACUAACCUAAUCUUCCACCUGCUCAUGCUUACAAUCAGUGUGACAGCUAAUGAAAAUCACGCUUACAAUCAGUCUUCGCGUACUACGCCAAUCACCCUAAAAUAGCUCUGGACCAUUGGGUCAAAGUUGUGACACAGUGUACAAAUAAAGAAAAAUAGAUUGGUGCUUCUUUCAGAAAAGAGUAAUCCCUAGAAAACUGCCAAUAUAAGCUACUAGUAUUUGGUUAGAGGAUUUGCUGCCGAGAAAGAUCCGUCCACAGAGAGCGCCACACAUCCCACUGGUUGUGGUGGAUGCCAAUGCGUGCAUGCAGCAUGGUUGGUGUCGGUAAUUUUUACUUGGCACACCUCGCACUCUGCAUAUAUGUCGGUUCCAUACGUACAUUUAUGCAGUUCCACCAAAAUGCAGCUGAAUAACCCUGUUUGCACAUAUAAUAAAAAAGCAUGAUUACAUUAUAGUAGCACUAGUUUAUGAAACACACAAAAUAAAUAGAAGAAAAUAUUGUGAUAGUAUCAUAGUAUGCCAUGCUGCGAGGGCGAGAUGGGCCCUGCGACGCCUCAUACGGUACGCCUCAUACUGGACAUCGUCCCAAAUCUCCCAGAUACACCUUCUUCCAGUGAUGAACAUCAGUGUACAACAGUAGUACAAGGAGGCGCCUUGAGACAUUCAAAUCUCUAUUUUUGUACAUAUCAACUAAAAUUAAGCACCCCAGUUUGUAGAAACGCCUAAACAUUAACAAUGGGACUAGUUGAUGAAACAUACUUUAACAAAGAGAAGCACUUUCUUUAUCUACAUUGGAAUGAAAUGAUAGAGAUGACACUCGCUCUAUUUAACUGUAUUAUUACUUCAUUUUAUCAGUGACACUAGGGUCGAGCAGGUGGCAAACGAGGUGUACCGUGCAUCGCAAGGAUGGAGGCCGGGGGUGCUUAGACUGGGAUGCUGAAGCCGGCUCUUUCAGUCACCAACAUGGAUGAUUCAAUUCAUGGGCCCUUUUGGUGCAGUUCACCUAAAAUGAAGCAAUGUCCCGUGAGCUAGCAGCUUCUUCAAAAAAAAUUUAAGAAAAGGGCUCCAGCCCCGGUUCCAUUUCCAUCAGAAAAAGAAACCCACAGAGCUUCUUCUUCAUUAGUUGCAAUAAAAUUGAGCAACAUCAAGUUGGUUGUGAAGCUCCUGGAAUACUCAACUAUAAUUUGGAUAUCAUUUGUGCAGUUCAACUAAGAUCGAGCGUGAAAUGUAUAUCUCUGUUAGCACAAAAAAGGUAGAAAGGAGGGUGACUAACAAGUGAUGAAACAUGCAUCAAAUGAAAACAAGCAUGUUCCUUAUCUGAAUGGCAAUCCUACAAGGACAGUAGCAAUUUCUAAAGCAGUGGCAUUGCUAGAUAUUAGUGUGGGCAUUAGGAUUAACUAUGACAACCGUUAAAUACGACAUUACUUUGGGCACGGGAGAGUAGGCGGACCAGGACAGUUGCAUUUCUAACGAAAAGAACCAACUUAUCUUAAUGGGAAAUUUUAGCAGGACAUGUAAAGAAGUGCCAUUGAUUCAUAUUACUGGAGGCAUUACAUUGAAAACAACAUUGGUUUAACGUGUCCUUACUUUUAACAGUGCGACUACUACAUUUUACCAGUGGCAUUACAUAAGAGUGGCUCGGGGCAACAAACCUCAGAACAGGAUAUCUGGGUUGGUCCCAUUUUCUGCGGUAUAGCCACCUUAUACUGUGUGAGACUAGCAAAUCUAGUGCUGGACUUACUAUGUUGACUUGUCCCCCAGUUUCCACUUUCUUACCUUUUUCAACCAGUAGAUCGGGUUUAUAUUGAGUUUGUACUGCGUUUCCCUUUAUUUCCCUAUUAGACAUAGAGACCAGUUGGAUAGCCAGUCUCUGCUACUUUUCGCCCCCAUUAUUUCCUCUUUCGACCAAGUCCUAGAUUCAGGUAACAAAUCCUCCCCCACCCGCCACCCCCUUUCUUCCUUGUUUGAACCAAGUAGUACUAGAUUCGAGUGCAUGAACUAAAUUUACCUCUUAAACGUAAAAAAAUUAGGUGGUUUUCAAACAGCCGAUCGAUCCUAUCUACGAGGGGGCCUGAGAAAUAGUAAAAGUUACAAAUGCAGCGACGUCAAGAGCUCGGGAAGUAGAGCAAGGCCGGUUUCAAAGGAAGUUAUACCUGAUGGUCGCCAGGAUGUCGCUAGGUGGGCGGCGGGAGGCCAGAUCUGCCCACACUACGACAGCAAGGAAGAAGGGGUCGGAGGCCCUCCCUCGCCAGCGGUGCUUGGGAGAGAACGGCAAGGCAGGAUGAUCGGGACGCGCCCAGCAGUGGGUAAGAGCCGUCGCCGAGGACGACCGCAUGAACGUUGCACCUUAUCACCUUCCCCGGCGGAGAGGAUCCGGCUGGAUCUGUGACCAGCGGUGAGCAGAGAGAGAGAGAGUGUGGCCACCGCUGUCGUGUUUAGAUCUGGAGAGGCCGAGACGGUGUGAAGAGAGCAACAUUAGCAAGCAAGCGCGGAGGCUCCUGUCUAUAUGGUGGAGUAGUACUUAGUUUUAUUUUGUCUACCGGAGCCGGCUUGACCUCAUCAAUGAUUGUCGAGAAGUCUUCAUGCACGUGGCCCGGAGGCGCAGUUGUCGUCAUUUUGAUCUGAAGCGUCGGACUAUAACAUAUAACAUAAAAAAUGCCACAUGACAAGAAAUCAUAACCUCACUGCCCAAAGGAGACAACAUGAAUCCCGACGGACAAACUAGACGAGGAACAAAUCUCAAAUUAAAGAUAAACUCGUAUAAAAGGGGUCCGUCGUUAGAUGUCCUAAUUAACAUAGCGGGCUUGACCUAGAUGGCAGCCGAGUAGUCACUAUUCGUGCAUGUGCCCCCAAUGACUAGCCCAACUCAGUUGUCGUUGUUUAACCCUCGCAGUGAUCCGAAGCACAUGACACAUAAUUUUAUGAGAUGACAAGAAACCUUUUUUUAGAUUUUUCACCACAACUACAGCCAUACAACACAGCCUGCACGAUAUGUAGACGAUAGCCAAUCCAGGCGUGUCUGCUAGAGUCUGGUCACAUGCAUGGACGAACUGAUCUUCUGUGUCUUGCAGGGAUCGUCCAGGCACCAACGUAGUACAACACUUCUCUAGUACUAUCGCUCGUCUCCCUCUUCUAUUAAGUCACCCGACUUGCGGGGCCGGGGAGUGUGCCUAUGGUCGGUUCUCAAUUGCCGUCCCACAUGUGUGUGCGAACGCAAUAUGACGCUUGUUCCAUUCGGAGAGCAGCGUGCCAGACCGACCGACCGUCUGGUGUGCGACGUGCGUGCUGUAUACUCCGUACAUGUGUACCGUCGUUUUCUAGACGAUUUGCUCCAUGGCGCGGGCGCAAUCCAUGGAUACAAAAUUAGUAUACUAUAUACUAUUUAAAAGUCGACGGCGGGGCUUUUCCUGCCCGGUAGGCGGCGGGACAGUUCCGCCUAGUCGGUUCGACAGAGACGCGAGAAGACGAGGGAGUAGGCUGCUGCAAACGUAGGGAUGUGUGAUUUGACAGCGAGUUACUGUUGGACAGGUGGGGCCCCGUGAUUUGACUUGCCAUUAUCAUUUUAACUGCGGCGCUACGACCGGCGUGAGUCUUCCGAUUCCUGACCACCUCCAUACAGGUGCCUCUCCCAAUGCUCCACCAUGUAGUAGUAGAGGCUGGCUCUUGCAUGAGAGCCUACUUCUCCAUUUUUUCCUUGCCUCUCUUUCCUCCAUAUAUGCAAAAAUGCCAUGUAAAGCGCACUAUCGUACUUACUUGCUGCUACAGGUGCUUAAGCUUGCCACAUAGGCAUAAAGUCUGAUGUGGCAAGUUAAUCAAGAAGAGAGAGACUAGUUUGGUGACCCAAGGAAGAAACGGUGCUAAGCGCGUGUACCUAGAUGAAAAGACAAUUUUGAGUCUAUAGCUAAUUAAAUGAAGCAAACUUAGCAACACCAUUUCGUUGGAAGAGGUCACUCCUUGGCAAAUGCAAUCUAUCUAUACCUAUACUAAUUACAGACUCCCAAAAAAUUACCACGUUAAUUAAAUUUUACGAGUCGUUCAUCUGGUGGGACCGAAUUAUUACGGUGUAGAUUUAAUCAUAGAGUCCUCAUCCAGAAAAAGACACUUUUCACACAAAGGAAAAAAAAAGAUACCAUGAGAUCUUAAAUCUGUUACGAUCUAAUACAAUAGCUAACCAUCUCUCACACGAUUUGAUUGUGUAAAAAAAUCAUCACAGCCCGCACAUGUACGUGACCCAACCUACACAUAAUUACUGCAUGCAUUCUAUUUCUCCAUGGACAUAACCCCCAUACAGUCUCCUCCCCGUAGGCAUCUCCCCCCUUGCUCACGCAAUUGUCUUUCUCCUGUCCUUCUGAUCAUCAACGUUGUGUUAGAUCUACAGCAAAUCCAAUUCCACCAGGUCAUGCGCUCAUUACGAUCGGCCUUGCUUCUUCCCGCCGGUGCCAUCAGCCCCUCUAUCUAUCUAUCUAUCUCUCUCUCUCAUCCUCGAGGACGCUGCCAACUGCUGUCACUUUCAUCAGACAAUCUUCAGCAACCACUACAUAUCCUUGCCUCCCAGGUACACAAUUAGUGUUUUUGGUUCUUAUGAUUUCAAGUAGAACUGAUCCCAUCCAUUAUUCAGAUUUUGACAUUGUCAUACUGAGUUGUGUGUACCAGAAUUAUGAGCAAUUUAUUCUCAUUAGAUGCAAACUUGAGAGAUUUAGUCAUAAAGUCAGGACAGUCAUAUGGGAUCAUCUUAAUUGAAAGAAGAGUAAUGUAACACUCUUUACCAAUGACUGAUGUGCUAACAGUAGAUGGUUCUAUCAAUUUUCUAUGCAUCUAUCACGCAACAGAAUCAGUUAACUAUAUAGGCAGGAACAAAGAAGGUGUAUCAGAUCUGCUCUUAUGAUGGAAUCAAGGGAAAUAACUUCCUGGAGUCACCUACGAGGUAAGCAGACCAUAUAGUUUAUUUUUUAGAUGGGGUUCGGUUGAUUUAUUAAUUUUCAUGAUGAAGCUCUGUCGCUUUACCUUUUUGAUUGCUAUUUUGGCUGACAGACCAGAACUAAUCUGUUUACUGAUAAGAGUUUGGGGCUAUUCAUAUAGUUUCUAUUAGUGUCGCAAGUUGGAUCUAAAUUCUCUUUUAUCUAUGUAAGGAGUGCGUUUUUAUUUCUGUACAAACCUGAUAUUCAUAUGGUUUUACCAUAGCUGUGUAGAAUGCGAGCAAGCAAAGUUGAUUAGUAACACACCUAGAAACAAAUGGAUUGAGGCCAUGGAUAAAUCUGUAAAUCUGGUAAGUGAAUACUCAGUUGUUAGUAAUUUUGAGCGCUGAGAUUUAAAUACCCAUGGGCACUACUUAUGAUCUCACCAAAAAAGGAAUUUCUAAUAUUCAGAUUUCUUAUGGAUGGCAAAUAAAAAAAUCCAGUUUAUGGAUGUGAAAAAUUGCAAUCAAGAAACAAUAUACUGUAGCCUGCAUAGAUUCCCAGAUNNNNNNNNNNNNNNNNNNNNNNNNNNNNNNNNNNNNNNNNNNNNNNNNNNNNNNNNNNNNNNNNNNNNNNNNNNNNNNNNNNNNNNNNNNNNNNNNNNNNNNNNNNNNNNNNNNNNNNNNNNNNNNNNNNNNNNNNNNNNNNNNNNNNNNNNNNNNNNNNNNNNNNNNNNNNNNNNNNNNNNNNNNNNNNNNNNNNNNNNNNNNNNNNNNNNNNNNNNNNNNNNNNNNNNNNNNNNNNNNNNNNNNNNNNNNNNNAUGCAUACUCACCUUUCUUUUCUAUCCAGUCAUACAUGUGUGAAUCUUAGAACGUACAAGUAGUCAACUGAACAUAUUUAUAUCUAUUUUCAUACACAUACUCAUCAUCAUACAUGUACUUUCUUAUGAUUAUUGUUCUCUUCCACACAUUUCUGAUGAAGAGACUGUAUCGAGUUAGAUCCGGCGGCACAGAGAAAAAUGAGGUUUGCAUGCUGGUGAUGAACAUCAUGGACUGAUUAUGUAAUUGGUUGCCUGUACAAGUUAUACAAAAUUGGGCGACGAAGUGCAAUGCAGGACCAUCCACUAUGCAGUGAAUAAUCUUUUAAGCAUCACCCUGCCCAGCCAUUUGAUCAGGUAAAUACUAUGUGUUGUCUCUCCGUGCGGUUUGUCAAUGAAAGCAUUGUUUAGCCAAUCCAGCCAGGGUGCAUACGGGAAUCUCUUCUUGGCUGCGGCACCAUCACGGCCGAGGAUGAGGUGAUAAGCUCGCCAUUAAGCAACUGGUCUGGUGAUGGAUUAAGCGUGUGAAGAAUCUUUUGAUCUGAGGUAGUAUAAUAUUGUUCUUAUUUAAUAACAAUGCAUUUUUAGCAUGCACCUCUUUAUGCUAUUUGUCUGCAGGUAGCGUUCAUGAACGGAAGACGGCGGUGAAGUAGCUAAUUGACUACGCAAGACAAAGAACUCACAUGUGUUAGUCCGUGGUGGCCAAAAAAGCGCACAUCUAUUAUACCCUCUCAAAUCACUCAAGCUAUGUGAUUUGUUUGGAGCAUGGAGAUUCGCUUAAUGAAAACAGUUUCAUGUUUUUAUCACAGAUUUCAGCUUUGCAGAUUUUCAUAUUUUCUACCGUAUGAUGACACUUUGUCUUCCACCACCAAUCUCCAUUGAUUCUCUCCCAUAUCCCUCAACUCUAACACAGCGUAAAACAUCCAAUUCUAUCGAUAAGAUCCGUGUCUCCCUUGAUCGCUAAUCAAGUUUCCAUCCGAUAGAUCUGAAUAUCUGAUAGAUAGAUGGAAACAUAAGUUUUCAUUCAUAAAUAGUAAGGAUUUAGAUUAAUAGUGAACAUCAUAUCUGUGUUAGUGAGAUUUUGUACUCAUAUAGAUUCGGUACAGACCCAAGGCUCUUGAAAGCUUGCGCAUAAGGGAUACACUCUAGUAUUUACAUAAUCUUCCGUACGGGUCAAUAUUAAGAUCUGAAGACCUAUUAGCCAUGUGAACCAAGCCCUGAUCUGUAUCAUAAAAUGUACACUUGAGGGUGCCAAAUUGAAAAUUACACAAUGGACAUUCCUUGAUCCACAAAUAUUCUAGCUUCUUCAUCAGGUUCAUGGUAUGCAGCUUCUCCAUUAUGCAAUGGCUCCAAGCAGUCAAGUAGGCAAUAUAUUACCAAUCAUAAAUGCAGGAAAUUUAUAGAUGAAGACCUUGAUAUGUUAAGAAUAAUUUUAUAUAAUGUACCUUCUAAAUUGGUUUGCUCAACAAUGGGCUCAAACACUGCAUAUGGAUCAUUUGUCUGGUCAUUCCCACUGGAAAAUCAUAAAAGCAGUAGAGCACAACAAUGUAAGUAUUAUAGUAGACGUAGGAUCGGCAUAAGUAAUUAGCAGAUUUGUAGUGUUUUGAGUACCAUGCGGAGACGGUUCGACAAGGACUCUUGUAUCAUUAUACGGCAUAUUUGUGGAUUGGAGCCGGUAAAAGGCUCUAUACCUGAACAAAGGAAAGAGAACCCAAAUUUAUGGUCAAAUAAACAUCGUCGACACAUUUGCAUCAUAAUUAAAUCAACGAACUAACCUGCAUCUUCAAUGGUGCAAUCUGGGUCACGUAUUCUGCAGAGUUGGGGUACCUUAACCCCUGAAACUUGGAUGUGAGUGCCUGCAUUCAAAGUAUAUUUUAUCCACAAGUUAGCACACGAGCAACAAAACAGUAGCACAAAUUAGGAAUUGGUUGAUGAUACUCACCCAAUGGUUGGUUGUUGCUUAAAUCCUGAAAUAGGGUACGCGCCCGUGCACGACUGGGAGAUGACAUACCGUCGUCUUCAUGUGAAUAUUCAUGUCAUUAAAUUGUUACAAGCAUGGAUAUUGUGCAUAUAAGUAUGAAUAUCAACAUCAAGUGCUGGUUUUAUAUUAGUGACAGGCAGAUAAGCAAUAUCUGUUUCAUCUUUGUAAACACUAGAUGAUACCCCGCGCGUUGCUGCGGGAUUUGUAGUACUACAUCUGUUUCAGUUUAUAAGUUCUACGCGGACAUCUAGGUUGCCAAUUUAAGCAUCCUAAUAUAAACUAUAUAAUAUAAAAAUUAUAUCUUUUGAAAAUAGAACAUCUGAAGUUUAUAUUGAUAUAUUUUUUGUAAUAUAUGACUUGUAUUAGGUUGGUCAAAUUGACGACCUAGGGGUACGCGCACGCCCUGUAAACUGAAAGAAAGAGAGAGAGGGAGUAUUGCAUAUAAGAUUUGUAAUGAGAAAUAAUCAUAUGGAACCUUUUAUGGAAUGAUAUGAGAAGUCUGUUUCCUAAAAACUCCAAAGAUAAAUUGGGUAGUACUGUCUCAUUAGAAUAUAUCGCUAAAAUGGAAUAGAAGGAACAUAUAGUUGAGAUGCAACCUAAUACCCAUUUGAGCAAUCAUAUAAUGAUAUUGUAACCACAUAGAAGAAUUAUUCUUACAUUUGUCAAGAUAUGCUAUAGGUUUGAAGACAUAAUCCCAAGUGCUUAGCCUUACAGAAGAUCGUUUGAUUGUAAUUAUACGACACAUGCUUGAAACUGAACAUCAGUUAAUAUUCCAGCAUCUAUCUUCGAACAUAGAACACAUCAGAUAAACAAUAAUUAGAGCUCCUAGCCUUCUUUUGGAUGAAAUGCAAGUGUCUCCGGAUGCCUAGCAACCAUCAGACAAAAUCUUCUGCUUUGAACACCUGAAGUAGAAGAGUGACAAUGGUGCCACUCAGGUAUUACAUCGAUCUCAUGCCACUGUGGAAUAACACUGCCGUGAAAGAACAUAUUGAACAUGAACUGCACUAUGUCAUAUUCUCUGAUUCUACAAAUCAUAGGAAAGCAACAAAAAUACCAAUAUGAUUUUUCAUACUAAUGCGUGUGUCAGAGAGAGAUGCAGUACUGUAGUUGCAGGUAGUACAUAAUAAGUUUCAUAUGUUUAUUCCUUCAAGAAGAAUACAAAAACUAAAAAGUUCUUUCACCAUCAAGUGCUUCUAAUCAAAACGAACCAGGUCGGAGAGAUGAGCAUAUGAUCCAUCGUAUCACGAUAACGUAAGUGACAAAGGCAGACCGGACAUGCUGACGUAGCGGAGGUGGCUACGGAACAAAGCUUCAUUUUUCUAUAAAAAAAAAUUGGCCUCCUAGUACCACACACAAACAGAGCUUCUAACUGAAGCUAACUCGAAAAAUUCGCUCAGAUCUAAGGAUGCAGAGAGAGGAAGGACUGCCCCCACCUUUGUCCUUUGGUGUAGUUGAUGUUGGAGGAGGACGCCGACGGUGGCACGUGUUUCCCACCGGGAGCUCUGGACGACGCCGGGGUGCGCGCCUUAGGGCAACGGAGCCUGCGGGGCUUGAUUCAUCGGCGACGGCGUGCAAGGCUCGAUGAAACGGCGAAGAUUACAGGGGCCUGGGUAGGCAGCAACGCACAGGUGUCUCCGGUGGCAAUGACUACGAAGGCUUGGCCGCAGUGGCACCUCACCAUCACCAUCACCAUCGCUCUUGAGGGAGUAUUGUUGGACGGAGUCCAAACAUAAGACCAAAGGAUUGAUUUAUUUGUGCCAUUGGAACCGGACAUAGAAGACGAAGAGAAAGAGAAACAGAGGGGACGGAGUGAAAGGAAAGUACGAUGGAGAUGAUAACGCGCCCGAAAAUAAAUGUUACGGCUGGGACUGCGAAGGGAGUAAUAUCCUCCGUCAAUUCAGCCAUGAUUAAUUGCAUGCAUGGGUUUAGGCAAUGUAAUUAAGUGCACCUAAAGUGGAGACAUGCAUGCGCUUUUUUUUUAUGUUGACAUGCAUGCGCUUGGAUGUAGUAACUGGUUGCGUGCUUGCUUGUGGCACUAAUUUUCCUUGGGGUUUGUUGGCCCAUUUGCUGGCCUCACAUUUGCAUGCAUGCAGUUCUCGCUCGCGCCAGAUCACGGCUGUGUGGACAGUGGCUGGACUUAACGCUGAUGUGGCAUGGAAAUGAUGUGGACAGUGUGCAUGUUGAGAGAAUUGGUAGAAGUGGGGAGCAACUUCUUAAGAAUGUAAGAUGUAAGNNNNNNNNNNNNNNNNNNNNNNNNNNNNNNNNNNNNNNNNNNNNNNNNNNNNNNNNNNNNNNNNNNNNNNNNNNNNNNNNNNNNNNNNNNNNNNNNNNNNNNNNNNNNNNNNNNNNNNNNNNNNNNNNNNNNNNNNNNNNNNNNNNNNNNNNNNNNNNNNNNNNNNNNNNNNNNNNNNNNNNNNNNNNNNNNNNNNNNNNNNNNNNNNNNNNNNNNNNNNNNNNNNNNNNNNNNNNNNNNNNNNNNNNNNNNNNNNNNNNNNNNNNNNNNNNNNNNNNNNNNNNNNNNNNNNNNNNNNNNNNNNNNNNNNNNNNNNNNNNNNNNNNNNNNNNNNNNNNNNNNNNNNNNNNNNNNNNNNNNNNNNNNNNNNNNNNNNNNNNNNNNNNNNNNNNNNNNNNNNNNNNNNNNNNNNNNNNNNNNNNNNNNNNNNNNNNNNNNNNNNNNNNNNNNNNNNNNNNNNNNNNNNNNNNNNNNNNNNNNNNNNNNNNNNNNNNNNNNNNNNNNNNNNNNNNNNNNNNNUGCAAUGGCUAAUUAUUUAGAACACUAUUCUCAAACAUCUAAUAAUCAUGAGUAAUGUUGCAACAGGUGGAAGAAGUCGAACCUAAAGAAGUACAUGGAGGAAUCACACCUGCGUGUGGCCGGCUGGUUCAGGGGACGCGGCGGGCGCGGGUGCAGGGCGGCCGCUGACGCGGCAGCAGGGCCAGUGUCGGGGCAGGCUCUAUCUCUCCUGGGCGCUGGCGAUCUCGCAGGAUGGAUGUCAUGCUGUGAGCGGCAACAAUCGGCGAUGGCGAUCAUGCAGGGAGGCGACGGAGCAGUGCAGUGCAGUGCGGCGAGGUCGCCGUGCAGGCAGGAGACGCUGUUGGUGGGUGGCGUCUGGCACCAAGUCGUCGUCGUGCCAGACGAUGAGGUCGACAGGAGUGGCAACAAUCAGCGAUGGCGAUCAGGGAGGUGACGGAGCGGUGCAGUGCGGCGAGGUCACCGUGCAGGCAGGAGACAUUGUUGGUGGGCGGCGUCUGGCACCAAGUCACCGUCGUGCCAGACGAUGAGGUCCAGAUCAAGGGCAUGGAGUUGCCUUAGUUUGCGAUCAUUUUCCGUGAUUGUAGGGACGCGGACUGGUAGUUCCAGUACAAAUACAAGGGCGUGGAGUUGCCUUAGUUUGCGAUCAGAUUUCCGUGAUUGUAGGGGCCNNNNNNNNNNNNNNNNNNNNNNNNNNNNNNNNNNNNNNNNNNNNNNNNNNNNNNNNNNNNNNNNNNNNNNNNNNNNNNNNNNNNNNNNNNNNNNNNNNNNNNNNNNNNNNNNNNNNNNNNNNNNNNNNNNNNNNNNNNNNNNNNNNNNNNNNNNNNNNNNNNNNNNNNNNNNNNNNNNNNNNNNNNNNNNNNNNNNNNNNNNNNNNNNNNNNNNNNNNNNNNNNNNNNNNNNNNNNNNNNNNNNNNNNNNNNNNNNNNNNNNNNNNNNNNNNNNNNNNNNNNNNNNNNNNNNNNNNNNNNNNNNNNNNNNNNNNNNNNNNNNNNNNNNNNNNNNNNNNNNNNNNNNNNNNNNNNNNNNNNNNNNNNNNNNNNNNNNNNNNNNNNNNNNNNNNNNNNNNNNNNNNNNNNNNNNNNNNNNNNNNNNNNNNNNNNNNNNNNNNNNNNNNNNNNNNNNNNNNNNNNNNNNNNNNNNNNNNNNNNNNNNNNNNNNNNNNNNNNNNNNNNNNNNNNNNNNNNNNNNNNNNNNNNNNNNNNNNNNNNNNNNNNNNNNNNNNNNNNNNNNNNNNNNNNNNNNNNNNNNNNNNNNNNNNNNNNNNNNNNNNNNNNNNNNNNNNNNNNNNNNNNNNNNNNNNNNNNNNNNNNNNNNNNNNNNNNNNNNNNNNNNNNNNNNNNNNNNNNNNNNNNNNNNNNNNNNNNNNNNNNNNNNNNNNNNNNNNNNNNNNNNNNNNNNNNNNNNNNNNNNNNNNNNNNNNNNNNNNNNNNNNNNNNNNNNNNNNNNNNNNNNNNNNNNNNNNNNNNNNNNNNNNNNNNNNNNNNNNNNNNNNNNNNNNNNNNNNNNNNNNNNNNNNNNNNNNNNNNNNNNNNNNNNNNNNNNNNNNNNNNNNNNNNNNNNNNNGGGGUGCUUCGCUUUCACCGGCGAGCUGCCCCUGCCUGCCCCCAGAUGUGCGUCGGCCCGCGAAGGGGGAGGGGUCGAAGAAGCAAAAGUGCUGGUAGGGGAGGAGACGGAGAGGAGGCGGAAUGAGGUUCUAGAUGGUUCUGGCGGUGCGAAUAACCCAGGCGUCGCGCCCAUCAUCGCCUUUGCUGGCUGCGAGAACUCCCGCUCCACGCGCCAAUGGCAGCUGGUAAGCCCACGCGUAACUACAAAAUUUCAGAAUUUGGUUCUACUAACUAUAAUAUUUUUUCCUGUGAGUUAUAGUAUAUGGUUGUACUAACUAAAUUUCUUACUAUGAGUUGUACUGACGUGCAGCCGGUAACUUAGUUGGUUACAGAGGGAGUAUCUUAACUCAACUGAUAGUGUAAUAUUUCUUCCUAUCAGUAGUAGCAGCAAUGAUAUCUUUUGUUAUGAAUAUAGACCAGAUUUAAGAUCUGAUGCCUACAUUACCAUUAAGCAUAUGUAGUGAACUCUUUUCUCCAUGUAGUUGGUACUGUAAGCUCUUUUCUCUAACUUGUUCCUAUUUUACCUUUUUCGUAGCGAGAUACAGUGGUACAUACAAAAGUCUGAACUGAAAUGGAUAGUUGUAGUUCUCAUUGCAGAGUGGUACUCCCUGUUCUUGUAUUUCUUUGUGGGGGAAGUAUUUGUUUGCUUUACAUUGUCAAAAAAAGAACUGUUUGGUUUACAAGGUUUUAGGAUUCCUUUUAGGUGAUGUUGUCAAAAUCAUAGCUCCUGUAUUGAAGUAUGAUAUGGAUCUAUGAUAUUUCUCCUCUGCAGGGACCAAGGGAUAUGUGAAAUUGACAAGGAAAAGAAAACUUCAGAUGUGAACACCUCUGUUAAGUAUUAUCUUUAUUUCAUUAUUACUAAUGUGUCGCCUGAUAGCUCGAUCUCUUCCAUACAUACAUAUAUGGUUAUUUCAGUCAUGUGUUAUAUUUGUCUCGUAAAGUCAGUGCCCGUCAAUACUUUCUUUCGCUAAUCAAGUUUCCAUCUGAUAGAUCUGAUAGAUAGAUGGAAACAUAAGUUUUCAUUCAUAAAUAGUAAGGAUUUCGAUUAAUAGUGAACAUCAUAUCUGUGUUAGUGAGAUUUUGUACUCAUAUAGAUUCGGUACAGACCCAAGGCUCUUGAAAGCUUGCGCAUANNNNNNNNNNNNNNNNNNNNNNNNNNNNNNNNNNNNNNNNNNNNNNNNNNNNNNNNNNNNNNNNNNNNNNNNNNNNNNNNNNNNNNNNNNNNNNNNNNNNNNNNNNNNNNNNNNNNNNNNNNNNNNNNNNNNNNNNNNNNNNNNNNNNNNNNNNNNNNNNNNNNNNNNNNNNNNNNNNNNNNNNNNNNNNNNNNNNNNNNNNNNNNNNNNNNGGGAUACACUCUAUUAUUUACAGAAUCUUCCGUAUGGGUCAAUAUUAAGAUCUGAAGACCUAUUAGGCCUGUGAACCAAGCCCUGAUCUGUAUCAUAAAAUGUACACUUGAGGGUGCCAAAUUGAAAAUUACACAAUGGACAUUCCUUUAUCCACAAAUAUUCUAGCUUCUUCACCAGGUUCAUGGUAUGCAGCUUUUCCAUUAUGCAAUGGCUCCAAGCAGUCAAGUAGGCAAUAUAUUACCAAUCAUAAAUGCAGGAAAUUUAUAGAUGAAGACCUUGAUAUGUUAAGAAUAAUUUUAUAUAAUGUACCUUCUAAAUUGGUUUGCUCAACAAUGGGCUCAAACACUGCAUAUGGAUCAUUUGUCUGGUCAUUCCCACAGGAAAAUCAUAAAAGCAGUAGAGCACAACAAUGUAAGUAUUAUAGUAGACGUAGGAUCGGCACAAGUAACUAGCAGAUUUGUAGUGUUUUGAGUACCAUGCAGAGACGGUUCGACAAGGACUCUUGUAUCAUUAUACGGCAUAUUUUCAAGUGUAUUGGAGCCAGUAAAAGGCUCUAUACCAGAACAAAGGAAAGAGAACCCAGAUUUAUGGUCAAAUAAGCAUUGUCGACACAUUUGCAUCAUAAUUAAAUCAACGAACUAACAUGCAUCUUCAAUGGUGCAAUCUGGGUCACGUAUUCUGCAGAGUUGGGGUACCUUAACCCCUGAAAUUUGGAUGUGAGGGCCUGCAUUCAAAGUAUAUUUUAGAGUUAAUUACACAAAACUACAACUUCAGGGUAACUUAUAACACUUUACCACAACUUUUGAGUUUUUUAACAAAAAACCACAAGUUCGGCUCAACUUAUAACACUUGACCACAACUUUUGAGUUUUUUUGACACAAAACCACAACUUCUAAACUAAUUCUCAACAUUGAGCCCAACUCUAUCAAUCAACUUCUUUUAGUAGACAAACUGAUUGAUUGGGCGCACAUGUUAGGACCUAAGUAGGAAAAUGGUGGCACGUGCGCAUCUCCUAUGUGGCCUACCAUUUCCUCCUCUUGCCAUCCCGUACCAGCGCUAUGAACUCCACCGAUGCAUUGAGCAGGGAGGUGGGUGUUGUUGGGAUGGUCAAAAUUUUGCCACAUGACGAUCACUCCGAGCGUCCUUGAUGGUGAGGUUCCUAGUGCCGCAAAGCCACGCCUGCAUGUCACUGUCGUUGGCGGCGGAGCUCCAAAUGAUCUCGAUGUCGUAAUUAGUAAGGACGAGCACAUUGCAGUGGUCACGAAGCACGAGGUGGCAGCCUUGAUUGUGCACAACGUGGCAUCACAGAUGUGCUGGCAGAGCCCGUCCGGACUAUGGCAUGGUCAGCAGGGCGCGCGAACCAGACAGAGAGGUCCUGGGGAGGACGAGCGCGUCUCUACUACCAUGGAGCACAAGGCAGCAACCUUGUCUAUGCACAACGCGAUAUAGUGCAUGUGCUAGCUGCGGUUGUCCAGACAACAACAUGGUUGGGCGGAGUGCGCCAGACGAAGAAGGUGAAGACAAUGAAUUUGUUUUCUUUUUAGGGGUAGAUGGCAUAGAAGCUGCAGGUGAACACGUCGUCGAGGAGACGACGAUGUUGUAUGCACACUGCUAUGUUACACAAAUUCGGUCAGCGCCACGUAGGAGGGAACUUGUCGCCUAGAGACACAUGUGGACCCAAUCAUUCAGAUUGGCUGUUAAAAGAAGUUGACCAAUAGAUUUGGACCCAAUGUUGAGAAUUAGUCCAGCAGUUGUGGUUUUGUGUUAAAAAAAUUCAAAAGUUGUGGUAAAGUAUUAUAAGUUGCCGCGAAGUUGUGGUUUUGUGUUAAAAAACUCAAAUGUUGUGGUAAAGUGUUAUAACUUAUCCUGAAGUUGUGGUUUUGUGUAAUUAACUCUAUAUUUUAUCCACAAGUUAGCACACGAGCAACAACAAAAACAGUAGCACAAAUUAGGAAUUGGUUGAUGAUACUCACCCAAUGGUUGGUUGUUGCUUAAAUCCUGAAAUAGGGUACGCGCCCGUGCACGACUGGGAGAUGACAUACCGUCGUCUUCAUGUGAAUAUUCAUGUCAUUAAAUUGUUACAAGCAUGGAUAUUGUGCAUAUAAGUAUGAACAUGAACAUCAAGUGCUGGUUUUAUAUUAGUGACAGGCAGACAAGCAAUAUCUGUUUCAUCUUUGUAAACAUACCACACUGUCCUUUUUGUUGAUAUUGUGUUUCAGUAUAGUUGUACAAUGUGCACAAGUCGCUAUUGUAAAUUCUGAAAGCCAACUUUUUUUCGACGCCAGGAGCAGGAGAUAGGGUGCAUGCUUUAGUUAGAAAAAUAGAUAAGGUGCAAUGGCUAAUUAUUUAGAACUCUAUUCUCAAACAUCUAAUAAUCAUGAGUAAUGUUGCAAACAGGUAGGAAGAAGUCGAACCUGAAGAAGUACAUGGAGGAAUCACAGCUGCGUGUGGCCGGCUGGUUCAGGGGACGCGGCGGGCGCGGGUGCAGGGCGGCCCCUGACGCGGCAGCAGGGCCAGUGCUGGGGCAGGCUCUAUCUCUCCUGGGCGCUGGCGAUCUCGCAGGAUGGAUGCCACGCUGUGAGCGGCAACAAACGGCGAUGGCGAUCAUGCAGGGAGGCGACGGAGCGGUGCAGUGCAGUGAGGCGAGGUGGCCGUGCAGGCAGGAGACACUGUUGGUGGGUGGCGUCUUGCACCUAGUCGCCGUCGUGCCAGACGAUGCGGUCGACAUGAGUGGCAACAAUCGGCGAUGGCGAUCAGGAAGGUGAAGGAGCGGUGCAGUGCGGCGAGGUCACCGUGCAGGCAGGAGACGUUGUUGCUGGGCGGCGUCUGGCACCAAGUCACCGUCGUGCCAGACGAUGAGGUCGAGAUCAAGGGCAUGGAGUUGCCUUAGUUUGCGAUCAGUUUCCGUGAUUGUAGGGACGCGGACUGGUAGUUCCAGUACAAGUACAAGGGCGUGGAGUUGCCUUAGUUUGCGAUCAGAUUUCUGUGAUUGUAGGGGCCGCGGGAUUGGUAGUUCCAGUCCGCUCCUGGUGAAGUACGGUCAGUCAUUGGAAAUUGCUACGUGCACAUCAUAGAGGUAUUAGAUCAAUGAUGGCUGUUAGAUUUAGAAUUGUGGACCUAAUCGAGUGGUGCUGAUUGGUUUGUGCGGGUUUGUGAGACUAAUUGCGGGGUGCACCUAAAAAAUUAUUGUUUGAUUGUUUAAUAGUAUAAAUAAUAAAUAAUAAAUAUAAAUAUUGAUUGUUUAAUAGUAUAAGUAUAGAUUUGUCAGCUACCUUAAGCUGCCCUACUGCAAGAAGAAUAUUGUGUUGCCUAAAAAGACAAGAAUAUUGCCUGAAUUUUUCAGUGUCGACAAAAGUACACCGCAGUCCAUCCGUAUUAGCGUGCUACAAUUUCACAAGAGAGCAUUGUAGGCAUCUUUUUGCCCAGAAAUUUAUCUGCUAAUCUGGGUUGAACACACGACAUCUCUUUUUAUCCAAGAGUAUAUUUCGGGUCUAUGCUUUCAUGUUGCUCAAUUCUUUUUCUGAAAGGAUUGCCCAAUGUUUGUCAGAGCUUCAUUAUGUAAGCCCUGUACAUUGCCCUGUCCGGGUCUUAUUGUGCACAUUCAUACAUUCAAAUUUGGUUGCGUCCUUCUAUUAAGUGCCACAGAUUACAGGGAGCCCCUAUUUCACGCGUAGGUCGGUGAAUAGCGACCAACCUGAAAUCCACCCCCACCCCCCGCAUUGCCGCCCCUCCGCGCAUUUUGGGCCGGCCCAAAUGGGGCUUAGCGCUCCUUUUUUGUUGUUUUUUUCAUUUUUCUUCUGUCAUUUUAAUUUUUGUUUCUUCUUUUUUUGUUUUAAUUUUUUCUUAGAGAACUGUUCACGAAUCUCAAUUUCAAGAAAAUGUUUGAGAUUUAAAGAAAUUCUUAAUUUCAAAAACUUUACACUAAUUUUUUAGAAAAAUCGUGAAUUAAAAAGUUAUACAAAAAUUUGAAAAAUGUUUAAUGAAUUCAAGAAAUAUCAUGAAUUCAAAAAAUGUUCUUGAUCCUAAAAUAAAUGUUACUGAAUUUCAAAAAAGUUCAUUGAUUCAAAAAAUGUUGAUAAGUUUCAAAAAAGAUUUAUCGAUUUAAAAAUAUUCGUAAAUUUCCAGAAAUGUUCUAAGAUUUGAAAAUUGCUUGUGAGUUAAAAAAUCACAGAUUGGAUAAAGUUCACGACUUUGAAAAAAAGUUUGAGCACUUGCAAAAUAAAAAAAAUUAAAGGAAAUAAAAAUGGAAAAUAAAAAAAAACAACGGCGAAAAAACCGGGAGAAAGAAGCAAGAAAAAAAGGGAGGCUGCCACCGAUGGCGAGGAAGAGUAAAACACGGGAGGCUGCAACCGAUAACGAGGAAGAGUAAAACAUAGGAGAACGCAACCGAUGGCGAGGAAGAGUAGAACAUGGGAGGCUGUCACUGCUUGGGUCUCAAGAAAGCCACUGCCAAAGUCUUGUUGGGCCUCACAGCCGGUGAGCUUGCCCGCUUCACGGAGGUGGAGGCCACUAUUUCAUCCCCUCAUGCUGAAGCUAAACUUGGUGGGCGCAUCGCCCAUCAGUGAGCUUGCCCGAUUCGUGGAGGCGAAGACUACUCUUCCCUUUAUGUUGAAGCUUCAUUUUCUGGGGUUCAGGGCCAUCGGGUGUGCUUGUUGUUGGACACGGGGAAAACAUGUAGUGCAAAACGCGUGUCGCCGCUGCCGGCGAUCUUUUAGACUAGAUUAGAAUAGCCUAGUCGGCUAUAGUUUAGUUGAAUAUGUCGAGAAUGUAAUGUGUGUGCUCCAGUUUAGAUGAAAAUGAUCCGGUUUUAUGUACGAAUUCUCUAAGUUCGUAUGAAAAUUGUCCAGUUUGUUUAAGUUUACAUCAAAUGUGACUGGGCGUUUGCAACUACCUUUGGAUGGUCGGUUUCCAUAUUAGUUUCUGGACCGGUCCGUAGACAUAUCCAGUGUCCGUUUUAGGGAUCCGUGUUAGAGAUACCCUAACAUAUAUAUGCAUGUUACUAGACUAAACUAUUAAUGCACACGUGCAACACACGUUAAUAUUUAGGCAAUAUAUUAAUUGCACGCGGAUAUUACAUAUGAUAGUAUUUAUUUGUUAAUUCUGUGAUUAAUGCAAUAUUUGGUAUGAUAUUAAUUGCACGUUAAACACGUUGAACGCUCGCUAUUGGAGCAGUCUAGGUCGUUGGAAUGACUUAAUUUGAUGGUCGUGAUCAAUUGGAUCUACCCUUUUGAGUCUUUUUAUAUUAAUAUAGAUAAAUUAUUUCCCACUACAACAUGUUUGGAUUAUCGUGUUGUUUCUGAAGACACCUAAAUAAUACACGUCUCAGCUCAUCGUUUUGUCUCCGACCGAAAAUUCCUAAGCAUCCAGUAAGAUUCUAGUGUAAAAUAAACACCUUCGUAUUAUUAAACUACAAUGAUUCCAAGCGCGGCCUAACUCGUAUCUACACGGAGAGUCGGCACCAUGGGACAUCGUCAUCGCGAUGUUAGCAUGUGGGCCAUGUAACACCCCCUUUAUGGGUUGUCACCUUGUGGUUUGUACCUGCGUGUGGGCUAUAAGAUGGCCCAAGGGGUAUCCUUGUGUGGGCCUGGUAGGAAGAGUAUAUGUAUCGCGUUUGUUACACCAUUCCCCCAAAAAACCUAAGGAACUCAUUGUGCAGAAUGCAUCAAUGAUACUUUGCUGGUGGUAAUCCCCAUGGUAACAAACCCAAUGCUUAUUUCUCAGUUCAAGCUCAUAAGUUUGAGUAAUGUGCUCUACCAGAUAACAUCAAAGGUGAUAGCAAACAUGAUGAAAGUUAUCCCGCGCGACAUUAUCUCUAAGGAACAAUCAACAUUUGUGCCUGGAAGGCUCAUUACAGAAAACGUCAUUAGUUCUGAUGAAUGUAUUCACUUCAUGAAAAGAAGCAAAUCCGAGGACAACAGCUAUUGUGCUCUCAAGCUAGACAUGAUGAAAGCGUUGUUGGGGAACGCAUCAAUUUCAAAAAAAUUCCUAGGAUCACGCAAGAUCUAUCUAUGUGAUGCAUAGCAACGAGAGGGGAGAGUGUGUCCACGUACCCUCCUAGACCGAAAGCAGAAGCAUUUAAUUAACGCGGUUGAUGUAGUCGAACAUCUUCGCGAUCCAACCGAUCCAAGUACCGAACGUACUGGACCUCCACGUUCAGCACACGUUCAGCUCGAGGACCUCCCUCGUACUCUUGAUCCAGUUGAGGCCGAGGGAGAGUUUCGUCAGCACGAAGGCGUGGUGACGGUGAUGAUGAAGUUACCGGCGUAGGGCUUUGCCUAAGCACUACGAUGAUAUGACCGAGGUGUGUAACUGUGGAGGGGGGCACCGCACACGGCUAAACAAUGUCAACUUGUGUGUCUAUGGGGUGCCCCCCUCCCCCGUAUAUAAAGGAGUGGAGGAGGGGAAAGGGCCGGACCUCUGUGGCGCACCCUGGAGGAGUCCUACUCCCACUAGGAGUAGGACCCCCCCUUCCCUAGUUGGACUAGGAGAGGAAGGAAGGGGCAGGAAGGAGGAAAGAAAGGAGGGGUCGGGCCCCCACCCAAUUCGGAUUGGGCUUGGGCGGGCGCGCCCCCUCCUAGGCUCCCUUCUCCUCUCUCCCACUAUGGCCCAAUAAGGCCCAUAUACUUCCCGNNNNNNNNNNAGAACUAUGUAGACAUGACCGAGACACGUCUCCGGUCAAUAACGAAUAGCGGAACCUAGAUGCUCAUAUUGUUUCCUACAUAUUCUACGAAGAUCUUUAUCGGUCAAACCACAUACAACAUACGUUGUUCCCUUUGUCAUCGGUAUGUUACUUGCCCGAGAUUCGAUCAUCGGUAUCUCAAUACCUAGUUCAAUCUCGUUACCGGCAAGUCUCUUUACUCGUUCCGUAAUACUUCAUCCCGCAACUAACUCAUUAGUCACAAUGCUUGCAAGGCUUAUAGUGAUGAGUAUUACCGAGAGGGACCAGAGUUACCUCUCCGAAACAUGGAGUGACAAAUCCUAAUCUCGAUAUAUGCCAACCCAACAAACACCUUCGGAGACACCUGUAGAGCACCUUUAUAAUCACCCUUUUACGCUAUGACGUUUGGUAGCACACAAAUUGUUCCUCCGGUAUUCGGGAGUUGCAUAAUCUCAUAGUUUGAGGAACUUGUAUAAGUCAUGAAGAAAGCAGUAGCAAUGAAACUAACACGAUCAUAAUGCUAAGCUAACGGAUGGGUCAUGUCCAUCACGUCAUUCUCCUAAUGAUGUGAUCCCGUUCAUCAAAUGACAACACAUGCCUAUGGUUAGGAAACUUAACCAUCUUUGAUUAACAAGCUAGUCAAGUAGAGGCAUACUAGGGACUAUAUGUUUUGUCUAUGUAUUCACUCAUGUACUAAGUUUCCGGUUAAUAUAAUUCUAGCAUGAAUAAUAAACAUUUAUCAUGAAUUAAGGAAAUAAAUAAUAACUUUAUUAUUGCCUCUAGAGCAUAUUUCCUUCAGUCUCCCACUUGCACUAGAGUCAAUAAUCUAGAUUACAUAGUAAUGAUUCUAACACCCAUGGAGCUUUGGUGUUGAUCAUGUUUUGCUCGUGAGAGAGGCUUAGUCAACUGGUCUACAACAUUCAGAUCCGUGUGUAUCUUGCAAAUCUCUAUGUCCCCUUCCGACACUUGAUGACAGAUGGAAUUGAAGCGUCUCUUGAUGUGCUUGGUUCUCUUGUGAAAUUUGGAUUCCUUUGCCAAGGCAAUUGCACCAUUAUUGUCACAAAAGAUUUUCAUUGGACCCGAUGCACUAGGUAUGACACCUAGAUCGGAUAUGAACUCCUUCAUACAAACUCCUUCAUUCGCUGCUUCUGAAGUAGCAAUGUACUCCGCUUCACAUGUAGAUCCCGCCACGACGCUCUGCUUGGAACUGCACCAACUGACAACUCCUCCAUUCAGUAAAAAUACGUAUCCGGUUUGUGAGUUAGAGUCAUCCGGAUCAGUGUCAAAGCCUGCAUCGAUGUAACCAUUUACGACGAGCUAUUUUUCACCUCCAUAAACAAGAAACAUAUCCUUAGUCCUUUUCAGGUAUUUCAGGAUGUUUUUGACCGAUGUCAAGUGCUCCACUCCGGCAUUACUUUGGUACCUCCCUGCUAUGCUUAUAGCAAGACAUACAUUAGGUCUGGUACACAGCAUUGCAAACAUGAUAGAACCUAUGGCUGAUGCAUAGGGAAUGACUUCCAUUUUCUCUCUAUCUUCUGCGGUGGUCAGGCUUUGAAUUUGACUCAACUUCACACCUUGUAACACAGGCAAGAACCUUUUCUUUGACUGAUCCAUUUUGAACUUCUUCAAAACUUUAUCAAGGUCUGUGCUUUGUGAAAGUCCAAUUAAGUGUCUUGAUCUAUCUCUAUAGAUCUUGAUGCCCAAUAUAUAAGCAGCUUCUCCAGAAAUUCUAUAUCAUUUCAAAUCAACAAUAUGUCAUCAACAUAUGAGAUCUGAAAUGCUACAGAGCUCUGACUCAGUUUCUUGUAAAUACAGGCUUCUCCAAAAGUCUGUAUAAAACCAUAUGCUUUGAUCACACUAUCAAAGCAUUUAUGCCAACUCCGAGAGGCUUGCACCAGUCCAUAAAUGGAUCGCUGGAGCUUGCACACUUUGCUAGCACCCUUUGGAUCGACAAAACCUUCUGGUUGCAUCAUAUACAACUCUUCUUCCAGAAAUCCAUUCAGGAAUGCAGUUUUUGACGUCCAUUCGCCAAAUUUCAUAUUCAUAAAAUGUAACAAUUGCUAACAUGAUUCGAACAGACUUAAUCAUCGCUACGGGCGAGAAAGUCUCAUCGUAUUCAACUCCUUCAACUUGUCGAAAACCUUUCGUAACUAGUCGAGCUUUGUAAACAGUAACAUUACCUUCUGCGUCUGUCUUCUUCUUAAAGAUCCAUUUUCUAUGGCUUGCCGAUCAUCGGGAAAGUCCCCAAAUUCCACACUUUGUUCUCAUACAUGGAUCCCAUCUCAGAUUUCAUGGCCUCAAGCCAUUUCGCGGAAUCUAGGCUCAUCAUCGCUUCCUCGUAGUUCGUAGGUUCAUCAUGGUCUAGUAACAUGACUUCCAAAACAGGAUUACCGUACCACUCUGGUGCAGAUCUUACUCUCGAAGACCUACGAGGUUCUGUAGUAACUUGAUCUGAAGCUUCAGGAUCAUCAUAAUUAGCUUNNNNNNNNNNNNNNNNNNNNNNNNNNNNNNNNNNNNNNNNNNNNNNNNNNNNNNNNNNNNNNNNNNNNNNNNNNNNNNNNNNNNNNNNNNNNNNNNNNNNNNNNNNNNNNNNNNNNNNNNNNNNNNNNNNNNNNNNNNNNNNNNNNNNNNNNNNNNNNNNNNNNNNNNNNNNNNNNNNNNNNNNNNNNNNNNNNNNNNNNNNNNNNNNNNNNNNNNNNNNNNNNNNNNNNNNNNNNNNNNNNNNNNNNNNNNNNNNNNNNNNNNNNNNNNNNNNNNNNNNNNNNNNNNNNNNNNNNNNNNNNNNNNNNNNNNNNNNNNNNNNNNNNNNNNNNNNNNNNNNNNNNNNNNNNNNNNNNNNNNNNNNNNNNNNNNNNNNNNNNNNNNNNNNNNNNNNNNNNNNNNNNNNNNNNNNNNNNNNNNNNNNNNNNNNNNNNNNNNNNNNNNNNNNNNNNNNNNNNNNNNNNNNNNNNNNNNNNNNNNNNNNNNNNNNNNNNNNNNNNNNNNNNNNNNNNNNNNNNNNNNNNNNNNNNNNNNNNNNNNNNNNNNNNNNNNNNNNNNNNNNNNNNNNNNNNNNNNNNNNNNNNNNNNNNNNNNNNNNNNNNNNNNNNNNNNNNNNNNNNNNNNNNNNNNNNNNNNNNNNNNNNNNNNNNNNNNNNNNNNNNNNNNNNNNNNNNNNNNNNNNNNNNNNNNNNNNNNNNNNNNNNNNNNNNNNNNNNNNNNNNNNNNNNNNNNNNNNNNNNNNNNNNNNNNNNNNNNNNNNNNNNNNNNNNNNNNNNNNNNNNNNNNNNNNNNNNNNNNNNNNNNNNNNNNNNNNNNNNNNNNNNNNNNNNNNNNNNNNNNNNNNNNNNNNNNNNNNNNNNNNNNNNNNNNNNNNNNNNNNNNNNNNNNNNNNNNNNNNNNNNNNNNNNNNNNNNNNNNNNNNNNNNNNNNNNNNNNNNNNNNNNNNNNNNNNNNNNNNNNNNNNNNNNNNNNNNNNNNNNNNNNNNNNNNNNNNNNNNNNNNNNNNNNNNNNNNNNNNNNNNNNNNNNNNNNNNNNNNNNNNNNNNNNNNNNNNNNNNNNNNNNNNNNNNNNNNNNNNNNNNNNNNNNNNNNNNNNNNNNNNNNNNNNNNNNNNNNNNNNNNNNNNNNNNNNNNNNNNNNNNNNNNNNNNNNNNNNNNNNNNNNNNNNNNNNNNNNNNNNNNNNNNNNNNNNNNNNNNNNNNNNNNNNNNNNNNNNNNNNNNNNNNNNNNNNNNNNNNNNNNNNNNNNNNNNNNNNNNNNNNNNNNNNNNNNNNNNNNNNNNNNNNNNNNNNNNNNNNNNNNNNNNNCUGGCACCAAAUAACAAUUAUUCAGGUCUAAAAUUUUAAUCCCGAUGGUAGAUGUAGAGGUAGUGUGCCGACCACGAUCACAUCGACUUUGGAAACAUUUCCCACGCGCAUCGUUACCUCGUCCUUAGCCAAUCUUCGCUUAAUCCGCAGCCCCUGUUUCGAGUUGCAAAUAUGAGUAACAGAACCAGUAUCAAAUACCCAGGCGCUACUGCGAGCAUUAGUUAAGUACACAUCAAUAACAUGUAUAUCAAAUAUACCUUUCACUUUGCCAUCCUUCGUAUCCGCCAAAUACUUGGGGCAGUUCCACUUUUAGUGACCAGUCCCUUUGCAGUAAAAGCACUUAGUUUCAGGCUUAGCUCCAGACUUGGGUUUCUUCUUGAGCAGCAAACUUUUUGCCAUUCUUCUUGAAGUUCCCUUUCUUCCCUUUGCCCUUUUUCUUGAAACUAGUCGUCUUAUUGACCAUCAACACGUGAUGCUCCUUUUUGAUUUCUACCUCCGCGGCCUUUAGCAUCGCGAAGAGCUCGGGAAUAGUCUUGUUCAUCCCUUGCAUAUUAUAUUUCAUCACGAAGCUUUUGAAGCUUGGUGCCAAUGAUUGAAGAACUCUGUCAAUGACACUAUCGUCAGCAAGAUUAACUCCCAGUUGAGUCAAGUGGUUGUGGUACCCAGACAUUCUGAGUAUGUGUUCACUGACAAAACUAUUCUCCUCCAUUUUACAGUUGUAGAACUUAUUGGAGACUUCAUAUCUCUCAAUCCGGGCAUUUGACUAAAAUAUUAACAUCAACUCCUGCAACAUCUCAUAUGCUCCAUGACGUUCAAAACAUCGUUGAAGUCCAGGUUCUAAGCCGUAAAGCAUGGCACACUAAACUAUCGAGUAGUCAUCAACACGCGUCUGCCAGGCAUUCACAAUGUCUGCAGUUGCGGGCGCGGGUGGUACACCUAACGGUGUUUCCAAGACGUAAUUCUUCUGUGCAGCAAUGAGGAUAAGCCUCAAGUUACGGACCCAGUCUGUGUAGUUGUUGCCAUCAUCUUUCAACUUAGCUUUCUCUAGGAACGCAUUAAAAUUCAAAGGAACGGUAGCACGGGCCAUUGAUCUACAACAACACAGACAUGCAAAAUACUAUCAGGUACUAAGUUCAUGACAAAUUAAAGUUCAAUUAAUCAUAUUACUUAAGAACUCCCACUUAGAUAGACAUCCCUCUAAUCAUCUAAGUUAUCACGUGAUCCAAAUCAACUAAACCAUGUCCGAUCAUCACGUGAGAUGGAGUAGUUUUCAAUGGUGAACAUCACUAUGUUGAUCAUAUCUACUAUAUGAUUCACGUUCGACCUUUCGGUGUCAGUGUUGUGAGGCCAUAUCUGCAUAUGUUAGGCUUGUCAAGUUUAAUCUGAGUAUUCUGCAUGUGCAACACUGGCUUGCACCCGUUGUAUGUGAAUGUAGAGCUUAUCACACCCGAUCAUCAUGUGGUGUCUCGGCACGAUGAACUGUAGCAGCGGUGCAUACUCAGGGAGAACACUUGUACCUUGAAAUUUAGUAAGGGAUCAUCUUAUCAUGCUACCGACGUUCUAAGCAAAAUAAGAUGCAUAAAGGAUAAACAUCACAUGCAAUCAAAAUAUGUGACAUGAUAUGGCCAUCAUCAUCUUGUGCUCAUGAUCUCCAUCACUGAAGCAUCGUCAUGAUCUCCAACGUCAACGACGCGACACCUUGAUCUCCAUCGUAGCAUCGUUGUCGUCUUGCCACCUAUUGUUACUAUGAUUAUCGCUACUGCUUAGUGAUGAAGUAAAACAAUUACAUGGCGAUUGCAUUGCAUACAAUAAAGUGACAACCAUAUGGCUCCUGCCAGUUGCCGAUAACUUUGUUACAAAACAUGAUCAUCUCAUACAAGAAUUUAUAUCACAUCAUGCUUGCCCAUAUCACAUCAUAGCAAACCCUGCAAAAACAAGUUAGACGUCCUCUACUUUGUUGUUGCAAGUUNNNNNNNNNNNNNNNNNNNNNNNNNNNNNNNNNNNNNNNNNNNNNNNNNNNNNNNNNNNNNNNNNNNNNNNNNNNNNNNGAAUCAAAGUAUGACAUGCUGGUAAGCAGUAUGACUAUUGUUGCCCACAACUCUUCGAGUUAUACUCAUGCAUAUAACAUCUACACAUAGACCUGGCUCAAAUGCCACUGUUGGGGAAUGCAGCAAUUUCAAAAAAAUUCCUACGAUCAUGCAAGAUCUAUCUAUGUGAUGCAUAGCAAUGAGAGGGGAGAGUGUGUCCACGUACCCUCGUAGACCGAAAGCGGAAGCAUUUAGUUAACGCGGUUGAUGUAGUCGAACAUCUUCGCAAUCCAACCGAUCCAAGUACCGAAUGUACGGCCCCUCCGCGUUAAGCACACGUUCAUCCCGAGGACGUCCCUCAUACUCUUGAUCCAUUUGAGGCUGAUGGAGAGUUUCGUCAGCACGACAGCAUGGUGAUGAUGAUGAUGAAGUUACCGGCGCAGGGCUUUGCCUAAGCACUAUGACAAUAUGACAGAGGUGUGUAACUGUGGAGGGGGGCACCGCACAUGGCUAAACAAUGUCAACUUGUGUGUUUAUGGGGUGCCCCCCUCCCCCGUAUAUAAAGGAGUGGAGGAGGUGGGAGGGUCGGCCCUCUAUGGCGCGCCCUGUAGGAGUCCUACUCCCUACGAGAGUAGGAUCCCCCCCCAACUUCCCUAGUUGGACUAGGAGAGGAAGGAAGGGGGAGGAAGGAGGAAGGAAAGAGGGGCCGACCCCCACCCAAUUCGGAUCGGGCUUGGGGGGGUGCCCCCUCCUAGGCUUCCUUCUCCUCUAUCCCACUAUCACUACUAGGGAAAACCCUAGUAGUAGCGCGGGUUUAAUGCCCACUAGUAGUGCGGGCCACCGCGCUACUAAUAAGGCGCUACAACUAUUACUUAGCUGUAGCGUGUGCGACACACGCUACUGCUAAGACAUAUAGCCGCAACGUUUGUUCUCUCCCGCGCUGCUGCUAAUCUAGCUAGUAGCAGCGUGUUUACUGUCCAUCGCUACUAGUAUUCUUUUUCAAUUUUUUUAUUUUGAGUGUAUUUAUAUGUCGUUAUACAAAUUUUGGUACAAUACCAAUUAUGAGGUUUAUAUCAUUAUGUCCAUAACCGUGUGUCAAAUGAAGGUGGAUUAGGUUCAAGUGGAGGCAAUAUGUGGUGCGUGUCAAAAGUAUACUACUAAUCCAAACUUGAUCUAGUUUGGACUAGUAGUACUUUCGAUGUGCACCACAUGUUGCCUCCACUUGAAUCUAAUCCGCUAGCACAAGCUAUUUAAUCAUCAUCAUAGUCAUUACCACCAACAGUAGUCAUUUAAUCAUCAUAGUCAUAGUGUAGCACAUUAUCAUCUUCAAACACAUUCUAGCUAGCUAAUCACCACCAACACUAGCUGUGGUAGCUAUCUAAUCACCACCAACACUAGCUAAUAAUAAUCAUCAUAGUCAUUACCACCAACACUAGUUAUUUAAUCAUCAUAGUCAUAGUGUAGUACAUCAUCAUCUUCAAACUCAUUUCUAUCUAGCUAAUCACUCAUGUUGCUCUCUCUCAGCUAAAAUAACAUAAAACAUGUGUAGCACUCCUGCUUCAUCAAGUUGGAGCAUGCAAAUGGACCAGUCUCCUAAUCAUGGGCUGCACUUCUGAUUGCUGCCCCCUAGUACUUCUCUGUGAUCGUUCACAAUUUUGCUCCAUUCUUUCACUAUUAAGCAUUCCUCGCUAUUAGAAAUCCUAAAUGCACUAAAGUGCAUUGUAGGAUAUCUUGGCCGUAAGCUAACAAUUCUCGUGCGACCUUUAGUCUCGAUCCAAUGAGGCACAACAUUCAUCGGGAGUCCCUGUUGAAGAAUAUCAUAUAGUAACAUACUUAGNNNNNNNNNNCUGGCACCAAAUAACAAUUAUUCAGGUCUAAAAUUUUAAUCCCGAUGGUAGAUGUAGAGGUAGUGUGCCGACCACGAUCACAUCGACUUUGGAAACAUUUCCCACGCGCAUCGUUACCUCGUCCUUAGCCAAUCUUCGCUUAAUCCGCAGCCCCUGUUUCGAGUUGCAAAUAUGAGUAACAGAACCAGUAUCAAAUACCCAGGCGCUACUGCGAGCAUUAGUUAAGUACACAUCAAUAACAUGUAUAUCAAAUAUACCUUUCACUUUGCCAUCCUUCGUAUCCGCCAAAUACUUGGGGCAGUUCCACUUUUAGUGACCAGUCCCUUUGCAGUAAAAGCACUUAGUUUCAGGCUUAGCUCCAGACUUGGGUUUCUUCUUGAGCAGCAAACUUUUUGCCAUUCUUCUUGAAGUUCCCUUUCUUCCCUUUGCCCUUUUUCUUGAAACUAGUCGUCUUAUUGACCAUCAACACGUGAUGCUCCUUUUUGAUUUCUACCUCCGCGGCCUUUAGCAUCGCGAAGAGCUCGGGAAUAGUCUUGUUCAUCCCUUGCAUAUUAUAUUUCAUCACGAAGCUUUUGAAGCUUGGUGCCAAUGAUUGAAGAACUCUGUCAAUGACACUAUCGUCAGCAAGAUUAACUCCCAGUUGAGUCAAGUGGUUGUGGUACCCAGACAUUCUGAGUAUGUGUUCACUGACAAAACUAUUCUCCUCCAUUUUACAGUUGUAGAACUUAUUGGAGACUUCAUAUCUCUCAAUCCGGGCAUUUGACUAAAAUAUUAACAUCAACUCCUGCAACAUCUCAUAUGCUCCAUGACGUUCAAAACAUCGUUGAAGUCCAGGUUCUAAGCCGUAAAGCAUGGCACACUAAACUAUCGAGUAGUCAUCAACACGCGUCUGCCAGGCAUUCACAAUGUCUGCAGUUGCGGGCGCGGGUGGUACACCUAACGGUGUUUCCAAGACGUAAUUCUUCUGUGCAGCAAUGAGGAUAAGCCUCAAGUUACGGACCCAGUCUGUGUAGUUGUUGCCAUCAUCUUUCAACUUAGCUUUCUCUAGGAACGCAUUAAAAUUCAAAGGAACGGUAGCACGGGCCAUUGAUCUACAACAACACAGACAUGCAAAAUACUAUCAGGUACUAAGUUCAUGACAAAUUAAAGUUCAAUUAAUCAUAUUACUUAAGAACUCCCACUUAGAUAGACAUCCCUCUAAUCAUCUAAGUUAUCACGUGAUCCAAAUCAACUAAACCAUGUCCGAUCAUCACGUGAGAUGGAGUAGUUUUCAAUGGUGAACAUCACUAUGUUGAUCAUAUCUACUAUAUGAUUCACGUUCGACCUUUCGGUGUCAGUGUUGUGAGGCCAUAUCUGCAUAUGUUAGGCUUGUCAAGUUUAAUCUGAGUAUUCUGCAUGUGCAACACUGGCUUGCACCCGUUGUAUGUGAAUGUAGAGCUUAUCACACCCGAUCAUCAUGUGGUGUCUCGGCACGAUGAACUGUAGCAGCGGUGCAUACUCAGGGAGAACACUUGUACCUUGAAAUUUAGUAAGGGAUCAUCUUAUCAUGCUACCGACGUUCUAAGCAAAAUAAGAUGCAUAAAGGAUAAACAUCACAUGCAAUCAAAAUAUGUGACAUGAUAUGGCCAUCAUCAUCUUGUGCUCAUGAUCUCCAUCACUGAAGCAUCGUCAUGAUCUCCAACGUCAACGACGCGACACCUUGAUCUCCAUCGUAGCAUCGUUGUCGUCUUGCCACCUAUUGUUACUAUGAUUAUCGCUACUGCUUAGUGAUGAAGUAAAACAAUUACAUGGCGAUUGCAUUGCAUACAAUAAAGUGACAACCAUAUGGCUCCUGCCAGUUGCCGAUAACUUUGUUACAAAACAUGAUCAUCUCAUACAAGAAUUUAUAUCACAUCAUGCUUGCCCAUAUCACAUCAUAGCAAACCCUGCAAAAACAAGUUAGACGUCCUCUACUUUGUUGUUGCAAGUUUUUACGUGGCUGCUACGGGCUUCUAGCAAGAACCGUUCUUACCUAUGCAUCAAAACCACAACAAUUUUUCGUCAAGUGUGCUGUUUUAACCUUCAAAAAGGAUCGGGCGUAGCCACACUUGAUUCAACUAAAGUUGGAGAAACAGACACUCACCAGCCACCUAUGUGCAAAGCACGUCGGUAGAACCAGUCUCGCGUAAGCGUAUGCGUAAUGUCGGUUUGAGCCGCUUCAUCCAACAAUACCGCUGAAUCAAAGUAUGACAUGCUGGUAAGCAGUAUGACUAUUGUUGCCCACAACUCUUCGAGUUAUACUCAUGCAUAUAACAUCUACACAUAGACCUGGCUCAAAUGCCACUGUUGGGGAAUGCAGCAAUUUCAAAAAAAUUCCUACGAUCAUGCAAGAUCUAUCUAUGUGAUGCAUAGCAAUGAGAGGGGAGAGUGUGUCCACGUACCCUCGUAGACCGAAAGCGGAAGCAUUUAGUUAACGCGGUUGAUGUAGUCGAACAUCUUCGCAAUCCAACCGAUCCAAGUACCGAAUGUACGGCCCCUCCGCGUUAAGCACACGUUCAUCCCGAGGACGUCCCUCAUACUCUUGAUCCAUUUGAGGCUGAUGGAGAGUUUCGUCAGCACGACAGCAUGGUGAUGAUGAUGAUGAAGUUACCGGCGCAGGGCUUUGCCUAAGCACUAUGACAAUAUGACAGAGGUGUGUAACUGUGGAGGGGGGCACCGCACAUGGCUAAACAAUGUCAACUUGUGUGUCUAUGGGGUGCCCCCCUCCCCCGUAUAUAAAGGAGUGGAGGAGGUGGGAGGGUCGGCCCUCUAUGGCGCGCCCUGUAGGAGUCCUACUCCCUACGAGAGUAGGAUCCCCCCCAACUUCCCUAGUUGGACUAGGAGAGGAAGGAAGGGGGAGGAAGGAGGAAGGAAAGAGGGGCCGACCCCCACCCAAUUUGGAUCGGGCUUGGGGGGGUGCCCCCUCCUAGGCUUCCUUCUCCUCUAUCCCACUAUCACUACUAGGGAAAACCCUAGUAGUAGCGCGGGUUUAAUGCCCACUAGUAGUGCGGGCCACCGCGCUACUAAUAAGGCGCUACAACUAUUACUUAGCUGUAGCGUGUGCGACACACGCUACUGCUAAGACAUAUAGCCGCAACGUUUGUUCUCUCCCGCGCUGCUGCUAAUCUAGCUAGUAGCAGCGUGUUUACUGUCCAUCGCUACUAGUAUUCUUUUUCAAUUUUUUUAUUUUGAGUGUAUUUAUAUGUCGUUAUACAAAUUUUGUUACAAUACCAAUUAUGAGGUUUAUAUCAUUAUGUCCAUAACCGUGUGUCAAAUGAAGGUGGAUUAGGUUCAAGUGGAGGCAAUAUGUGGUGCGUGUCAAAAGUAUACUACUAAUCCAAACUUGAUCUAGUUUGGACUAGUAGUACUUUCGAUGUGCACCACAUGUUGCCUCCACUUGAAUCUAAUCCGCUAGCACAAGCUAUUUAAUCAUCAUCAUAGUCAUUACCACCAACAGUAGUCAUUUAAUCAUCAUAGUCAUAGUGUAGCACAUUAUCAUCUUCAAACACAUUCUAGCUAGCUAAUCACCACCAACACUAGCUGUGGUAGCUAUCUAAUCACCACCAACACUAGCUAAUAAUAAUCAUCAUAGUCAUUACCACCAACACUAGUUAUUUAAUCAUCAUAGUCAUAGUGUAGUACAUCAUCAUCUUCAAACUCAUUUCUAUCUAGCUAAUCACUCAUGUUGCUCUCUCUCAGCUAAAAUAACAUAAAACAUGUGUAGCACUCCUGCUUCAUCAAGUUGGAGCAUGCAAAUGGACCAGUCUCCUAAUCAUGGGCUGCACUUCUGAUUGCUGCCCCCUAGUACUUCUCUGUGAUCGUUCACAAUUUUGCUCCAUUCUUUCACUAUUAAGCAUUCCUCGCUAUUAGAAAUCCUAAAUGCACUAAAGUGCAUUGUAGGAUAUCUUGGCCGUAAGCUAACAAUUCUCGUGCGACCUUUAGUCUCGAUCCAAUGAGGCACAACAUUCAUCGGGAGUCCCUGUUGAAGAAUAUCAUAUAGUAACAUACUUAGNNNNNNNNNNNNNNNNNNNNNNNNNNNNNNNNNNNNNNNNNNNNNNNNNNNNNNNNNNNNNNNNNNNNNNNNNNNNNNNNNNNNNNNNNNNNNNNNNNNNCAUUGGGUCAAAGUUGUGACACAGUGUACAAAUAAAGAAAAAUAGAUUGGUCUUCUUUCAGAAAAGAGUAAUCCCUAGAAAACUGCCAAUAUAAGCUACUAGUAUUUGGUUAGAGGAUUUGCUGCCGAGAAAGAUCCGUCCACAGAGAGCGCCACACAUCCCACUGGUUGUGGUGGAUGCCAAUGCGUGCAUGCAGCAUGGUUGGUGUCGGUAAUUUUUACUUGGCACACCUCGCACUCUGCAUAUAUGUCGGUUCCAUACGUACAUUUAUGCAGUUCCACCAAAAUGCAGUUGAAUAACCCUGUUUGCACAUAUAAUAAAAAAGCGUGAUUACAUUAUAGUAGCACUAGUUGAUGAAACACACAAAAUAAAUAGAAGAAAAUAUUGUGAUAGUAUCAUAGUAUGCCAUGCUGCGAGGGCGAGAUGGGCCCUGCGACGCCUCAUACGGUACGCCUCAUACUGGACAUCGUCCCAAGUCUCCCAGAUACACCUUCUUCCAGUGAUGAACAUCAGUGUACAGCAGUAGUACAAGGAGGCGCCUUGAGACAUUCAAAUCUCUAUUUUUGUACAUAUCAACUAAAAUUAAGCACCCCAGUUUGCAGAAACGCCUAAACAUUAACAAUGGGACUAGUUGAUGAAACAUACUUUAACAAAGAGAAGCACUUUCUUUAUCUACAUUGGAAUGAAAUGAUAGAGAUGACACUCGCUCUAUUUAACUGUAUUAUUACUUCAUUUUAUCAGUGACACUAGGGUCGAGCAGGUGGCAAACGAGGUGUACCGUGCGUCGCAAGGAUGGAGGCCGGGGGUGCUUAGACUGGGAUGCUGAAGCCGGCUCUUUCAGUCACCAACAUGGAUGAUUCAAUUCAUGGGCCCUUUUGGUGCAGUGCACCUAAAAUGAAGCAAUGUCCCGUGAGCUAGCAGCUUCUUCAAAAAAAAAUUAAGAAAAGGGCUCCAGCCCCGGUUCCAUUUCCAUCAGAAAAAGAAACCCACAGAGCUUCUUCUUCAUUAGUUGCAAUAAAAUUGAGCAACAUCAAGUUGGUUGUGAAGCUCCUGGAAUACUCAACUAUAAUUUGGAUAUCAUUUGUGCAGUUCAACUAAGAUCGAGCGUGAAAUGUAUAUCUCUGUUAGCACAAAAAAGGUGGAAAGGAGGGUGACUAACAAGUGAUGAAACAUGCAUCAAAUGAAAAGAAGCAUGUUCCUUAUCUGAAUGGCAAUCCUACAAGGACAGUAGCAAUUUCUAAAGCAGUGGCAUUGCUAGAUAUUAGUGUGGGCAUUAGGAUUAACUAUGACAACCGUUAAAUACGACAUUACUUUGGGCACGGGAGAGUAGGCAGACCAGGACAGUUGCAUUUCUAACGAAAAGAACCAACUUAUCUUAAUGGGAAAUUUUAGCAGGACAUGUAAAGAAGUGCCAUUGAUUCAUAUUACUGGAGGCGUUACAUUGAAAACAACAUUGGUUUAACGUGUCCUUACUUUUAACAGUGCGACUACUACAUUUUACCAGUGGCAUUACAUAAGAGUGGCUCGGGGCAACAAACCUGAGAACAGGAUAUCUGGGUUGGUCCCAUUUUCUGCGGUAUAGCCACCUUAUACUGUGUGAGACUAGCAAAUCUAGUGCUGGAUUUACUAUGUUGACUUGUCCCCCAGUUUCCACUUUCUUACCUUUUUCAACCAGUAGAUCGGGUUUAUAUUGAGUUUGUACUGCGUUUCCCUUUAUUUCCCUAUUAGACAUAGAGACCAGUUGGAUAGCCAGUCUCUGCUACUUUUCGCCCCCAUUAUUUCCUCUUUCGACCAAGUCCUAGAUUCAGGUAACAAAUCCUCCCCCACCCGCCACCCCCUUUCUUCCUUGUUUGAACCAAGUAGUACUAGAUUCGAGUGCAUGAACUAAAUUUACCUCUUAAACGUAAAAAAAAUUAGGUGGUUUUCAAACAGCCGAUCGAUCCUAUCUACGAGGGGGCCUGAGAAAUAGUAAAAGUUACAAAUGCAGCGACGUCAAGAGCUCGGGAAGUAGAGAAAGGCCGGUUUCAAAGGAAGUUAUACCUGAUGGUCGCCAGGAUGUCGCUAGGUGGGCGGCGGGAGGCCAGAUCUGCCCACACUACGACAGCGAGGAAGAAGGGGUCGGAGGCCCUCCCUCGCCAGCGGUGCUUGGGAGAGAACGGCAAGGCAGGCUGAUCGGGACGCGCCCAGCAGUGGGUAAGAGCCGUCGCCGAGGACGACCGCAUGAACGUUGCACCUUCUCACCUUCCCCGACGGAGAGGAUCCGGCUGGAUCUGUGACCAGCGGUGAGUAGAGAGAGAGAGAGUGUGGCCACCGCUGUCGUGUUUAGAUCUGGAGAGGCCGAGACGGUGUGAAGAGAGCAACACUAGCAAGCAAGCGCGGAGGCUCCUGUCUAUAUGGUGGAGUAGUACUUAGUUUUAUUUUGUCUACCGGAGCCGGCUUGACCUCAUCAAUGAUUGUCGAGAAGUCUUCAUGCACGUGGCCCGGAGGCGCAGUUGUCGUCAUUUUGAUCUGAAGCGCCGGAUUAUAACAUAUAACAUAAAAAAUGCCACAUGACAAGAAAUCAUAACCUCACUGCCCAAAGGAGACAACAUGAAUCCCGACGGACAAACUAGACGAGGAACAAAUCUCAAAUUAAAGAUAAACUCGUAUAAAAGGGGUCCGUCGAUAGAUGUCCUAAUUAACAUAGCGGGCUUGACCUAGAUGGCAGCCGAGUAGUCACUAUUCGUGCAUGUGCCCCCAAUGACUAGCCCAACUCAGUUGUCGUUGUUUAACCCUCGCAGUGAUCCGAAGCACAUGACACAUAAUUUUAUGAGAUGACAAGAAACCUUUUUUUAGAUUUUUCACCACAACUACAGCCAUACAACACAGCCUGCACGAUAUGUAGACGAUAGCCAAUCCAGGCGUGUCUGCUAGAGUCUGGUCACAUGCAUGGAUGAACUGAUCUUCCGUGUCUUGCAGGGAUCGUCCAGGCACCAACGUAGUACAACACUUCUCUAGUACUAUCGCUCGUCUCCCUCUUCUAUUAAGUCACCCGACUUGCGGGGCCGGGGAGUGUGCCUAUGGUCGGUUCUCAAUUGCCGUCCCACAUGUGUGUGCGAACGCAAUAUGACGCUUGUUCCAUUCGGAGAGCAGCGUGCCAGACCGACCGACCGUCUGGUGUGCGACGCGAACGCGACGUGCGUGCUGUAUACUCCGUACAUGUGUACCGUUGUUUUCUAGACGAUUUGCUCCAUGGCGUGGGCGCAAUCCAUGGAUACAAAAUUAGUAUACUAUAUACUAUUUAAAAGUCGACGGCGGGGCUUUUCCUGCCCAGUAGGCGGCGGGACAGUUCCGCCUAGUCGGUUCGACAGAGACGCGAGAAGACGAGGGAGUAGGCUGCUGCAAACGUAGGGAUGUGUGAUUUGACAGCGAGUUACUGUUGGACAGGUGGGGCCCCGUGAUUUGACUUGCCAUUAUCAUUUUAACUGCGGCGCUACGACCGGCGUGAGUCUUCCGAUUCCUGACCACCUCCAUACAGGUGCCUCUCCCAAUGCUCCACCAUGUAGUAGUAGAGGCUGGCUCUUGCAUGAGAGCCUACUUCUCCAUUUUUUCCUUGCCUUUCUUUCCUCCAUAUAUGCAAAAAUGCCAUGUAAAGCACACUAUUGUACUUACUUGCUGCUACAGGUGCUUAAGCUUGCCACAUAGGCAUAAAGUCUGAUGUGGCAAGUUAAUCAAGAAGAGAGAGACUAGUUUGGUGACCCAAGGAAGAAACGGUGCUAAGCGCGUGUACCUAGAUGAAAAGACAAUUUUGAGUCUAUAGCUAAUUAAAUGAAGCAAACUUAGCAACACCAUUUCGUUGGAAGAGGUCACUCCUUGGCAAAUGCAAUCUAUCUAUACCUAUACUAAUUACAGACUCCCAAAAAAUUACCACGUUAAUUAAAUUUUAUGAGUCGUUCAUCUGGUGGGAC
RNAcentral lists this long non-coding RNA (78343 nucleotides) under Triticum aestivum (bread wheat). RNAcentral's name for it is "long non-coding RNA (TAES_LNC017006)". The record is from RNAcentral. Lineage: Eukaryota; Viridiplantae; Streptophyta; Magnoliopsida; Poales; Poaceae.